UAAGAUGCAGAAAAUAAGGUAUUUAAGAUGCAGAAAAUAAGGUAGUUAAGAUGCAGAAAAUAAGGAAACACCCCACAUCACUACAGUGCAUAACAAAUCUAUCACAUAAGCACAAAGACAAACACAAAAAGGACAUAAGCUUAUUCUCAAAUUUCAGUACAUAUACUCAUCAAAAUUCAGAAUCUCACGUCACAAACCCGAGCUUAGUGCUCAAGGGUUGACAGUCAUGCCUUUUAUGCAAGAUCUAAGAAGCUAUGAUGCUCAUUAUUGUAAUGAAAAACUUUUGAAAAUUUUUGAAAUUUGAGCAAAAUUUGAAAUCCCCCAAGUUUAGACUAAACAAGCGAGCUAUUAUCCACCCUUCGCUUAAAAAAUUGCUUGGAAGUUGCCCAACAUGAGAAGAGAAAACUAUCUGAAUGUAGGCAAUCCUAUAAACAAUUAAAACAAUAGCCACAACUGAUUGAAAUCAAGUUGGAUAAACAACCAUUUGAUGAAGGGAGGGCGUUGAGCUUGUCUAAGAAAAAUAUACUCUUUAAGGGUUUAUGCCAGCAGCAGCAACAUACAUAUCCAGCUUUCCUAUAGGUAUUCCUAUUCCCUAAACUCCAAGGUCACCAAGGCCAAGAAUACGACUUCCAUCUGUCAAGACAAUCAUGUCAACCUGUAGUUUGAAGAAGAAAAUACAAUGAAGUUCAAAAAUAUAUAUAUAUCUACAAAGCAUAACAAUUAUCCCAUAGCUGAAAGAAAUAAUAUUUGUUAUGCUAUGUAUAUAAUUCACAAAUUAAUAGACCAUCAUCUCAAUGUACAAAUUGUGUGAAGCUAAGGUCUCUGAAACAACUUAAAGAGGAUUGAAGAAGAGUACCAGAAGUUUUUCAUUAGCCAUCAACCCAGGAAAUAAAUGAAGCAUCAAGCAUGUCUAAUAAACUGAACUGGGUCCUCAAUAUGUAACACAAAUUACACAAAAAUCUAGGGAGCGAGGAUAUGAUUUAGAUCCUUAAAAUACUUAGAGGUUUGAGAGAGAAUCAAAAUAACUUAUUGCAUUCACUAAAGAAAUAUAUAUACAAGAUGUUCUUUGUAAACUUAAUCCUCAGUUUAUCCAAGACCCAAUGGUUAAUUGAUUCAAUAGAUGUUCUUCUAAAAGAACCAAACUGGAAGUUUUUCAACAAAUAUGUGAGUGAUGAAACCGGAACAACAUAGCUAUCCAAAAGUGAAGUUUCCCAUCAUUUUUUUAUGGGCUUUUUCUGAUGUAUAAUGCAUAUGUUUGUUUUAUUUUAGCUCUUAAUUGUCUCGCUGUUUUAAGUUUUACAUUUGCAAGUCUCUCUUUUCUUUCUUUGGUACGGACACAAUAACCGGUGGGGUAACCUUUCUAUGGUUCUAGACUUAGUUUCUAAGUUUGACUGCUCCCUUCAGAGUGACAACAAGCCUCAUUUUCCUCCUACUAUGGAACGGGGAGGAUUCCCCCUCUUUUCAAAGCCCUCGUCAAACUCAAUGCUAAGUUUGAUUGCUCCCUUCGGAGUGACAACAAGCCUCGUUUUCCCCUAGUGUGGGACGGGGAUGAUUCCUCCUCUUUUCAAAGCCCUCAUCAAACUCGAUGCUAUGACUAGAACACUAAGAGUAGGUGGUCUGGUUUUGCUUAGGCCAUAAGUGAAGUUUCCCCUCAUUUUUUUAUGGGAUUUUUCUGAUGUAUAAUGCAUAUGUUGUUUGUUUGUUUUUUAGCUCUUAAUUGUCUCGCUGUUCUACGUUUUACAUUUGCGACCAUCUUUUUUGUUUCUUUGGUAUGCACACAAGAACCGGUGGGGUAACCUUUCUAUGGUUCUAGACUUAGUUUCUAAGUUUGACUGCUCCCUUCGGAGUGACAACAAGCCUCGUUUUCCCCUACUAUGGAACGGGGAGGAUUCCUCCUCCUUUCAAAGCCCUCGUCAAACUCAAUGCUAAGUUUGACUACUCCCUUCAGAGUGACAACAAGCCUCGUUUUCCCCCUAGUGUGGAACGGGGAGGAUUCCUACUCUUUUCAAAGCCCUCAUCAAACUCGAUGCUAUGUCUAGAACGCUAAGAGUAGGUGGUCUGGUUUUGCUUAGGCCACAAGUGAAGUUUCCCCUCAUUUUUUUAUGGGAUUUUUCUGAUGUAUAAUGCAUAUGUUGUUUGUUUGUUUUUUAGCUCUUAAUUGUCUCGAUGUUCUACGUUUUACAUUUGCAACUAUCUCUUUUGUUUCUUUGGUACGCACACAAGAACCGGUGGGGUAACCUUUCUAUGGUUCUAGACUUAGUUUCUAAGUUUGACUGCUCCCUUCGGAGUGACAACAAGCCUCGUUUUCCCCCUACUAUGGAACGGGGAGGAUUCCUCCUCUUUUCAAAGCCCUCGUCAAACUCAAUGCUAAGUUUGACUGCCCCCUUCGGAGUGACAACAAGCCUCGUUUUCCCCCUAGUGUGGAACGGGGAGGAUUCCUCCUCUUUUCAAAGCCCUUAUCAAACUCGAUGCUAUGUCUAGAACGCUAAGAGUAGGUGGUCUGGUUUUGCUUAGGCCACAAGUGAUGUUUUCCCUGAUUUUUUUAUGGGAUUUUUCUUAUGUAUAAUGCAUAUGUUGUUUGUUUUUUUUGGCUCUUAAUUGUCUCGCUAUUUUACGUUUUCUAUUUGCAACUAUCUCUUUUGUUUCUUUGUUACGCACACAAGAACCGGUGGGGUAACCUUUCUAUGGUUCUAGACUUAGUUUCUAAGUUUGACUGUUCCCUUCGGAGUGACAACAAGCCUCGUUUUCCCCUACUAUGGAACGGGGAGGAUUCCUCCUCUUUUCAAAGCCCUCGUCAAACUCAAUGCUAAGUUUGACUGCUCCCUUCGGAGUGACAAUAAGCCUCGUUUUCCCCCUAGUGUGGAACGGGGAGGAUUCCUCCUCUUUUUCAAAGCCCUCAUCAAACUCGAUGCUAUGUCUAGAACGCUAAGAGUAGGUGGCCUGGUUUUCGUUAGGCCAAAAGUGAAGUUUCCUCUCAUUUUUUUAUGGGCUUUUUCUUAUGUAUAUUGCAUAUGUUGUUUGUUUUUUUAGCUCUUAAUUGUUUCACUGUUUUAUGUUUGCAAGUCUCUCUAUUCUUUGUUUGGUAUGCAAUGUGGUAACUAGGUCUUGCUAGAACCGGUGGGCUAACCUUUCUAUGGUUCUACACUUAGUUUCUAAGUUUGACUGCUCCCUUCGAAGUGACAACAAGUUUUGUUAAUGUCCACCCUUUUCUAGAGGGAUUUAGUUCAUUGUGGCUAGACAAACGGCUCCUAACUCAUGUUAUUUGUUAAAACCAUCUCAAUUUCUAAAGAGUACCUCCUAUCCUUUUUUAACUCUAUCUAUGCUAGGUUUGGACCAAGUGCAUCAUAGGUAAGUCACAGCAACGCAACAAAGGAAGACAAAGCUAGAAAAGUAUCCAUGCAAUCAAGCAUUCACAACACACAUACCAUUUUCUCAAUCAUGCAUUCACAUCUGAACAAGAUAUCGCUAACAUCUCAAUAAGAUAUCGCUAAAAAGGGACGUAAACCAAAAAAGACGGCAGCUUAUGCUCAAAUUUCAGCACAUAUAAUCAUCAACAUUCAUAAUUUUACAUCACAAACCCAAGUUCAGUGGUCAAGGGUUGUUAGUCAUGCUUUUUAUGCAAGAUCUAAGUAAGCUAAUAAGGUAUAAUGCUCCUUAUUGUAAGGAAAUUUUUUUUAGAAAUUUAGAAAUUUGGGCAAAAUUUGAACCCCAAGUUUCGACUAAACAUGCAAGCUUUUGAAAAUCAAAGUAAAGAGAGAAAAAUAAGGGGGAACUUUGGACUCCCCUAGAAGGAUCGACGUCCUUGACUUUUGUUUGAAGCUUGCAUGGAUAAACCUCUUCAUUUCUUUUCCAUUGAUUAAUUAUCCUUGUUCCUGAAAAUCAAAGGAAAUUCUCUCAAUUUCAUUUAUUACUAAAAUUAGGAUAAUUAUAGUAACGGUAUUUUUAACUCUUUUGGUAGUUUACGUCUUGAGUGUGUUUUCAAUGGUAUUUUUAUAUAAAGUACAAAGUUUAGGGGUAUUCUGUAUAAUGGAACCUCUUUGACAAAAAAAAAAAAAAAUUUAAACCCAUGAAGUCUAACUAACCGAACACAAUUAGAUUUCUAGUAGCAGUAAUUUACCACAGAAACAGAAAUCAAAGGUUAGAAAAUAAUUUAAUGGCAUUUCUAUAAAUUUAUCACAUGAUCUUUCUUCUUCUUUUUUUUCUUUCCUUUUUUGAUAAAGCUCUAACCAUGUAGUUAAGCUUCUACCUGUAGCAGUUAAUUAAAAUAGAGACAUAAACUAUAGAUUAACAAACAAUUGGAAGGCCUCUCGAUCAAUUUAAUACACAAUAAGUUCAUACUUAUGUCUUUUUGGAAGUAUAAAAAAUGAAAAAUCGCUAUUUUCCCAAAACGAAACCUCUUCAUUCCUCUUUCGUCGAUUAUUCAUCCUUGUUCUUCAAACCUCAAGCCUUAAAAUUGAGGAAGUAGAGGAAAUUCUCUCAAUUUACUUCAAAGGAAGGAUCAUGUUCUCUCCUACAAAUGGUGUCUUUCUAAUUUUCAUAACUUUAUGACUUAAUAUGGCAGUGUUGUAUAAUGCAAAUCCAUAUAGAAGAAACACCAUUUACAGCACAGCCAAGGAAAAUGAAGAUUCAAUAUCUUUUUCAAAAAACGCUCUAUCUCAUUUGCACUUAUUUCUCUCUUCUUCUUCCACGCUCAAUGAAGAAAACCCUUAAUGAAGAAAAAAAUAAGAAAUCAACCCUAAACCCCUCAACCCAACAUCCUGGUGUGCUUUCUCAAUCUACAUCCUUCUCAAUGAAACAUACUGAUGUGCUUUCUUAAUCUACAUCCUUCUCAAAGAAAUGAAUUGAAAAAUCUCUAAAAGUUUCCUCAUCAAACAAUACCAUGCAACAAUGUUUAAAAAGGAUAGUAAAAAGGAAGAACAAUGACGUAAUGGUGUUUAAAGAGAAUGGUAAAAAGGAACAAAGAUGGUGAGAAGAAAUUUAUUUUCAACUUAACCAUGAAGAACAGUUCAACAAAAAAUAAAUAAUAAAAUAAAGGCACUUGGGAAAGCAACAAACCUGCUUCUGUAACUCAAGAAGCUGCCGCUCUUUCUCAUGAAUGUGUUCUUCAAGUUCAUGCAAAUGUUUUAUUUGCUAAGCUCUUUCAGCUUCAGAAUGAUCAUGUUCCUCCUACAAAUGAUAUGUUUCUAAUUUUCAUAACUCAAUGACUUAAUAUGGCAGUCUUGUAUAAUACAAAUCCGUAAUAGAAGAAACACCACUUACAGCAGAGCCAAGAAAAAUGAAGAUUGUGUGUAAUGUACUGCAAUAAAAUUAAAAUACUAAAGAAUGUGUUAGGAUGUUAGCGUAAGCAAAAAGUAAAAUCAAUGGCAAAAGAAGGGAAAAAUUGAAGGGCAUCAACAAAAAAUGUAAACCUUUAAGUUGCUAUUUCCUUAUCUUGUUCCUGCAGAAGAUCAUCCUUGGCCCAAGCCUAUGAAGAAAUUAUAGAAUAAAAGGGUUGGUGAAGAAAAAAACAGAUCAUUGCAAAACAUUCUUAUGCAAGCAAAUCAAGCAUGAGGGGGAAAAAAAAACACACCGCGUCGUUGUCUAAUUUAAUUGAUUGCAAUUCCCUAUCUUUAUCUUCUAUUUUCCUUUCCAGUUUGAGAAUAGCCUGGUGUCUUUCACAUAGCCUGUUCCUGUACAGCCACAAAAUGUCUCAUUGAAGUAUUAAAGUAGACCGCAUCUAAAUAGUGAUUUGCCUAAUUCUUCAAAAAUAAACAUUAAGUUUUGAGUUGUGGCAAUAUGAACUAGGAUCUCCUUUACAAUUGUGCUCUAAAGAUAUUGAAGACAAUUUAUAGAAUAAAUCAAUCUUAUUAAUGAUAAUAAUAGAAUUAGUAAUGACGAUAUUACAUAUCCUUUAAAAUUUUUUGUUAAGUGAAAAUUAUGAGGUUUCUUUCCGCUUUUGUGUGUUCUCAUGUUUAAUUGUACUUUAUCGUACCAAUUUAGAAUUUUAAAAUGUUUUUAAUUCACUAUUUGAGGCUUCAUCUUGCCUCUUCAAGUCAAAAUACCUCACAGCCUGCCUUUGUUGAGUUAUUUUCUAUUGAAUAAUAGAUUGUGUUUUCUUUUUUGGUCAAGAGACCAAAGUAGAUUAGUUUACAAUUAGAAACAAAAAGGUGGAUUUCGAUUUCCCAUAAUAAACAAUAAGAGUGGAUCACCAACAAGUCAUAAACCUACUAUCAUUUAUGUUCCACUUGAUCCAAACAUAACAAACAAAAAUGAAAGGUUUGGACUUACUUGAGAAUUAGUGUUGAAAAAAGAUAGUUGUAUGACCUUUGUUAGCAUAGGAGUAACAACUUGAAAAUGCAUCAAGAAUCUACAAAAUUAUUUAACAUUAGUAGUUAAGAAUGCAGAAAAUAAGGAAACACCCCACAUCACUACAGCGGAUAACAAAUCUGCCACAUAAGCACAAAGAUAUAAAUACUGAGAGUAUUAUUUGAAACUUAGCAAACUCAAACAGGACACUGAUUUGUAGCUAUGCCUGAGGGAAAAAUAAAUCAUGAACACUGAUUUCAACUCCAAGAUGCUUCUAAAAGGCUUGUCUUACACCGAUUGAGGCAAGUCCUUGCUAAACUUUCUCUUUCUUGUAUCUUUUUCAAAAAACGCUCUAUCUCAUUUGCACUUAUUUCUCUCUUCUUCUUCCACGCUUAAUGAAGAAAACCCUUAAUGAAGAAAAAAUAAGAAAUCAACCCUAAACCCCUCAACCCAACAUCCUGGUGUGCUUUCUCAAUCUACAUCCUCCUCAUUUUUUUUAUGACAAAUCUUUAAUUAACGAAAUUCAAGUAAAGAAUAGGUUUGCUUUCAAGUAAUCCUCUGAUUAGGUUUACCUCAUUAAAGAAUUCAUCUGCAUCUGCCCACUGUCCGCUAACUUCAUCGACACAUAAUCUUCUGUAUUAUAUUAUCCCCUUCAUCUCCGUCCUUGGAUGGCGGCAGCAAGAGCACUACCACCUGAAAAUCACAGAGACAGUUCACACUAGGCAAAACUUCCAAACUUGAAUCUUAAACUAAAAACUGUCACUACACCACCGAAAUUAAGACAAAUAAUCCAAAACCCCCAUAAUCACACCACAACACGUAAAGUACCUUCACACCCGAAUCAGACAAUCCAGAGAUGGAAUUCUCAGGAACGGUCUUCAUACCUCUCGCUUAAGUGGGUUAGAAGAGGGAGGCCCGCUUCCACCUAGCCAGCGAGGGUUUGGAAUCAGGAACCAUGGAGUCGGGAUCUGACGGUGAUGGUGGAACAAAAGGACUUUGGAAGACGAAUUGGGUUUCCGAGGGGUCUGCCGCUCUUGAUUCCGGCGCCGUUAGGGCUAGGAGAAGACGAUGGCGUGGAUCGGCAAGAUGGGCAACUCACAGAGAGCGAAAGAGAAUGAGAGAGGAAGAGGAAGUAGAGAGAGUUACCGUUGGAAGAAGGAUGGGGAAUUAUAAAAAAUAGGAUAAUUUUGAAGGAUGUAAAGAGAUUUGAGAUGAAUUUUAAAAAUUAUGACUGUUAGGACAAAUUAGUUGGAAAAAGUCUAUAUUACCCUCAAGUUAAAAAAUAUCCUCAAAUCAAUUUAUGAAUCCUCUCUUCUCCUUCUCCCUCUAUUUUUCCACUUUCUAAAAAUAUUUCAUUUUUCUCUCAUCCCUUCUUGUAUUUCAUUUUCCCUCAUUUUCACAAAAUUUCCUUUUUCUUCCUUUUCCAUUCUUUAAUUCGUUUUCUUGAAAUUCCUUUCUCAAACUCCUCCCAUGGUCUCCCACCGGCCUUUGAAAACCAUGUCGUUCCUUAUCACCUCAUUCUUUGCCUUUUUCAAGCUUCUUCCUUUCUUGAAAUCAAAUCCUCUUUCAUAGAAGUCAUUUAAGCUCUCACAGCUCGUUGUCAUGGUUGUCUCCCACUAUGUAUCAUCUUCGAUAUCUUUCUUAGUUGGACUACGUAGCCAAACAACUCGACAUCUACCACACAAUGUUUAGCGGCAUUGGAGGUUUUUGCCUAGCUUGCUAUGUCUCUCUUUGGCUCAACCUUCCUCACCGGAACGUCGUCGCCCACGACAUUCUCUGUCAGAUUUUAAAGAAGGUAUCGUUCAGCUCCAUAAGACCUAAUUGUCGACUAACAUCGCGGAAGCAAAUGGUGAAGAUGGUUGGUCGAUUUUUCAAAAUCUGUCUAUUUUAGAAACUUGCAGGUUGUUACUGUAGCUAAAAUUGAGCAAUAAUUUAAAAAUUUUGGUAGAUUUCUACCUAAUGAUGUGUAUUUAUUAGGUCUCGGAGGCCCUUGUUUUUGAUUAUUUGUUUGGAUUGGCUCACAUGGAUGGUUCUUGAUGCAUUUGUUGGUGGUGCCAUGAAUAGGAAGGGAAAGAGGGAGAGGUAGUUACCAGUCAGAUGCUCCUAAGGGACGGUUUGGUUCUCAUAGUUUGGGUCGAGGAAGUAGCCAAGAUGCCUAUGGUCAGUUGAGAGGCAACGGUUUCCCUCAGUGGUAUCACAAGGUUCAAUAGUAAUGUUAAUUUGUGGGGAAUUGAUUAUCAAGAUAAGAUGGUACUUUUCCCCCUUAGAUGGUUUUUAAGAUGCAAUUCAAGUGGAAAUUUUUUGACAUUUCAAGUACAAGCACUAGUUAGACAAUGGGAGGGAAAUAGACUUGAGAGAUGAAGACCCUUUUCAUUAAAUUUUACCCUUUUGUAGUAGUUCCGUAGUCAUUAGGUGAAUAUUGUUGCCAUUUUACAAUCAAAUAAUGUAUAAUUGAGUGAGCAUCUUGCCAAAUAAAUGAACAAUUUAGAUCCUUGAAUGCCAUUUUUUCAUCAUGCUUUAUAGUGAGAUUUCGUUAAUCAAAAUCAAUGAACAACUUGAUUUAUGAGAUGUUUGAAUUUUGAAGUUUAGUUUGAAAAAAAAAACUCAUGUGUUGUGUAUAGUUGUUUUUCAAGGAUAACGUUGGAUCAUGAUACAUGUAAGUCUUUCGAUAUGUAACAAUAUCAUAGUGGAGUAUGGAAAAAAAAUUAAGUGAAUUUAUUUUAUGUUUUAGUUAUUUUUCUAAUUUUACAAACAUAUAUAUCCCUUUUAAGUGGGUCUAUUCCGCACGCAUCUCAAACCUAUCUCACAACAUUUUGCACAUUUCAAACUUUCACUAUGAGUUUCACAAUCAAAUUGCUACCGCUUCUAAGUUAUCUCGCACACAUCUUGCACCCAUCUCGCACCUUUCUCGUACACAGGUUAAUUUGUCCUAAAUGUCCUAAAUCUUGCACCUAUCUCGCACCUAUCUCCUACCUUUUCUUCUUCUUAAUUUGCUUUCGUCAAUUUGUGCAAUUCAUUCUCAAAUCUUUCUUACUCCAUUUGUCACUGACCAUCAGGUGCAAUGGAGCAACAAAGCAAACAGCAAAGAGUGAAAGCAAAAGAAAAAGGUCAAUUCUCACAUAAUUAUUUUUAACAUUCUACUUCCACCAUAAGAAAAAUUGCCAUAACAAUUCAUGUGAAGCAUACCUUGAUCUUCAAUGCUCGAUUCUUGCAUGCUUAUCUUGAUACUCGUUUCUUAUUUUUUGAUUGCUCAACUUUAAUUUCUAUCAAUAUGAUAGAGUGGGAAUCAAGAACAAGUAGCAAAAGCGAGCAAGUGUCAAGUCAUCACGAGCUAUAACAAGAUUAAGUUGCAAGAAUCAACUAUUAAGAGUUGUCAUACAUAUUUGUUAUUGGUAAUUUCACUUAUAAUAGCAAAUGCAAAAAAAAAUCUAAAAUAUGGAUCCUUUUUAAAUUUUAAUGGAUGAUCCAUCAACAUUCGAAAUUUAUCGAACUUUGUGUCCACAAAAACAUUGUGCCAUCUAAAAAAAAUCUUAUAUACAUGACGUCCUUGAUAUUCUAAAAAAGAAAGUUUGAAGACUUCAAAUAUAUGUGUAAAUCUUAUAUACUCUAAAAGAUAUUUUCAAGGCCUAUAUACACAUAUACACAUGUACACUGUAGUCAAGUAGGCUUGGUUGGAUGUUAUUGUGACUGUACGAAAUCAAUUAGAGAACUUUGAGAUGGGUUUUUGAUGUUGUAUUGAAGUGAGUUCAAUCAAAGCUUGGAAAAAGCUUUCUUACGCGAAGGUAAGGGGGCGGUCAUACACUCAAUUGAGGGGAGUAUAAGUACAUUAUAUUGAUGGGAUCCAUACAAAGCUUGAAGAAGAGAGUAAUGUAGGAGUGAGGAGGGAGAAGUUAAAGUUAAAACUAAAGAAUAAGCUAUACAGAUAAAUACUCCAUUGUAAUUUAACUCUUUAUAAGUUGAUUUUUUUUUUCUAUUAGGGCAUACAAUCCUCCAAAUAGUAAGUAAUAUUGCACUAAACGAGUUAUGAAUAUUUUCGUCUCACAAUCUCUUUGUUCUUCUUUGAUAUUAUGUUAUUAUAUUUGUCGGCAAUUUUGUUACGCAACCAUACCCUAUUUCUUAGUCAUCUCUAAAAACAUCUCUUUUUUUCCAUAUAUUGACUUUUCUAUGUAAUUUCUUUUCAAAGUGCAUUUAAGAACUAAGUCCCGUAAUUUAAUUUGCCACUAAAACCACUUACUUGAACAAUUGAUUCAUUCGUGAGAGAAAAUUAAAAUUUAAUCGAAGGAAGAACUUUUUUUAAAAAAACAAAAAAAGAAAAAGUUAAUAUAUUUCAAAAAAAGAGUAGGUAAGAUUUAGAGAACGUGUUUUAGGUCGGUCAAAGAAAUUAUGUUUUGAUCUCGAUUAAAUUUAUUUUUUUAGUACAAUAAAGAUCAAAAGAUGUGAACUACAAUUUUUUUGGUCACAACUCAUCGACACAUUUAUAUUAUCCAUAAUAUGAUACUUAACUAUUUUACUAUUCAAAGCAAUCAAAUUUACAUAGGAAUCUUUUUGUAAGAAUGAUUUGUUCACGAGGUCUUUUACGAUUAAUAAACUCGUCCCGUCGUAAAGGAUUCUAACAUUUUUCUUACAUCAUAGUGCACUACUACAUUUUAUAACGCGAUAACCAUUCCUAUUACGGUUUUAGAUGAGAAAAAUGAAAGAAUGUGCUAGAGAUGAUCGUCAAGUUAAGGCCAUGUGUACAUUAUAAAAAGCAAUAGUGUGUUCUAAGGAUAAGUAUAAGUUUGUGAGGGAGAAGUGUUACAUGGGAAAUUAACAAAAAAAUAGGAUAAUUUUUAAGGGUUUAAAAAGUUCUAGGAUAAAUUUUAAAAAAUAUGACAUUUAAGACAAAUUAACUAGGAAAAGUCUAUAUUACCCUUUGGUUAUAAAAAAACCUAAAAAGCAAUUUAUGGAAUUCCUUCUUUUUCCUCCAUUUUCUCACUUCCAAAAAGAAUAUUUCAUUUUUCUCUCAUCUCUCCCUGUGCGUAUUCCAUUUUUCCUCAUUAUCACAAAACCUUUGAUUUCUUUUUUCUUCCUUUCCCAUUUUUCAUUCACAAAACUACAAAAACAAUGAUAGUUUCGGUGAUUUCAUUGUGGAACAUUCACAAAGAUGUGUAUGAGAUAGGUGUGCGAGAUGUGUACGAGAUAGGCUAAGAGGGAUUAAAGAAAAGUUCAAUCAGUUUACAAGCCUAGAGGAUUAAUAGUGGAGAAGAAAUGGAUGGAAGAGAAGAAACGUAGGCACCAAAAGUUGAAGGAAGGAAAAAGAAAAGAGGAAGGAGGAAAUUAAAUGAGAGUAUUUUCGUCAUUUCACCUCUAAUUUGUCCUAAAUGUCAACUUUUUUACAAUCAAUCCUAAAAAUCUUUAUCUACCUCAUCUUUUGCCUAUUUUUGUCAAUUCCCCAAGAAGGAUGGGGAAGAAAUUUGACGGGGAAUUGCCAAGAAGAGUACAAAUUUGACCACAUUUAAGACUUUUGUGACCAAAUUUUAAAAAGAAGAGUUUUGGGACAAAUGGGUAUGUGAAAUAUCUAAAUUACCCUUUAGUUUAAAAAAGCUCUAAAAUUUUGAAACCCACGAUUUCUCCUCACGCAACACAUAUUAUGCUGCUCGCAGGUGACUCCAUUUACAGAGAUAACAAAUCCCAACCAACAAACGGAGACAAUCGAUCAGAUGGAGUGGCGAUGACUUGGGUAGCAACGACAUCUAUUGGGCGACUUGGACAACAACAACAAUUUCUAUGGAUUGUGUGUCAACAAUUUCUAUAUCUUUCUUUACAUAGAUUUUUUUCCUCAUUUUUAUUGCUUAUAUGUUACUUAUGUAUACCAGGUAGGAAAUUUGGUUGCUCUAGUUGAAGAUUGGACAACUAGUGGAAAGCAAGUAUCAAACAACGCUUGAUGGCUUAUUAAAAGCAAAAGAUAUGGACACACAUGGUGUAAUUAGCUUUAGGGUAGGCAUUACAGAAACUGGAGUUAUUGUUUUGUAUUUAUAUUGAACUUAUGUCGAACCAUUUAAUUGUAUUCUUGAAGUUGAUCAUUUGUGAUAUAGAUAUUAUAAUCGAUGUAGUUGAGAAGAAUUUUGUUCUUUCAUUAUCUUUAAUGUAUUAUUCCAACCCUUACUAGAUAGGUGCGAGAUGUGUACGAGACAGUAGGGAUAACAAUUUGAUUUUGAAAUUAUUAGUAAAAGUUUUGAAAAUGUGCAAGAUAGGUGUGAGAUGUGUACGAGAUAGGUGCGAGAUGUGUACGAGAUGUGUACGAGAUAGGCUAAAAGGGAUUAAAGAAAAGUUCAAUCAGUUUACAAGCCUAGAGGAUUAAUAGUGGAGAGUUGUGGAGAAGAAAUUGAUGGAAGUGGAAAAGAAAUGGACGGAAGAGAAGAAACAUUCACCGGAGGCACCAAAAGUUGAAGGAAGGAAAAAGGAAAGAGGAAGGAGGAAAUUAAAUGAGGGUAUUUUCGUCAUUUUACUUCUAAUUUAUCCUAAAUGUCAACUUUUUUACAAUCAAUCCUAAAAAUCUUUAUCUACCCAUUUUUGGCCUAUUUUUGUCAAUUCCCCAACUUUGACGGAGAGGGUUUUGUAUAAAAGGCAAUAAUAAUAAUUCCUAUUCUUUUUAAUAUUAUUUAUUAAUAAAAAUAAUUAAAAGUUUAAAUAAUCCAUCACACAUAUACUUCUUAUCAGUUAUUAGAAUUAAAAAAAAAAAGUCAACAAAUAAAAUUUAUAAAAUUAUCAUACAUCAAGAACAAAAAAAAAUACAUUUGUGAAAUAAAAAAAAAUGUAUAAAAGAUAAAAAAUGAAUCACCUUAAUUUUAAUAAUAUUUUAUAUCUUAUCUCGAAAGAUAUAAAAAAUAUUAAAAUGUAUCUAUCUCGAAAUAGGUUUUCAACUACGUCCCAAGUGGAAUAAAAAAUUGUUACCAAACUCUUAAAUAUAGAAUUUCAUAAUCUCUCCAUAAUUUGUAUGUUAGUAUGAGUUUGUAGGGUGUGUUUGUCCCAUGAAGUUAGAAGUAGUGUAUAAAAGUUGAAGUUGUAAAAUCCAGUUCUUGUUUGACUUAAAUAGUUGGCGGAUCAUUAUUAGAAAUUUAAUUCUAAGCACUCUACUUGUCCAACAUUACAAUUUAUUCAAUUAGAUAGUUAAAAAAAAUGACGUCACAAGGUUCUUUAUUAAUGUCCCUACAAUUCCUUCUUCCAUCUAAUGCUACAAAUAUGAACAAUCAGCAUUCACGAAAGGACAAAAAUUGAACUACAUACAGUACAACAAGAAAACAGAUAAAGUCAAAGCCAAAGUACAUUGUAUUGAUGCCAAACUUGUUUACGAAGCUCAUGAAAUAGAAGUUGAUGCAGACCAUUGGUUGUUUCACACCAACUACUUUUCUAUAGAAAAAUAGCUUACCCAUAAAUUAAGAGACAAUAACCGAGGAGAGCAUAGAAGUUGGAAGGUAUUUACAUUGUUGUUGAUGCAAAGAGAUAGUAAGCAGAGGUUGUUAGAGGAUGUGGAACUUAAGAUCUACAGUAUGGUGGAUAAAUUAUUUGGGUCAACAGUAAUAUUUCAGAGUUUGGAAUGGUGAAAAGAGUUUAUAUACUGUGAUAUUCCAUUCAAUGCACUUACCAUAAAAACGAGGUAGAAGAAAGGAAGAAGAAAGACUAACCUUGAAUCAUUAGCUUCAAGUGUCUAACAGUAGCAGAGGAUGGGCUGGUAGACGACGAACCCUAAGCAAAACCAAUGUGGACGACGGUGAGAGAUCAGCAUGUUGUUGUGAAACAAUCGUGAGAGGCAGGGUAUCGCAGUCGUCGUGUUGGGUUUCAACGUGGCUUUCGUAGUCGUGCUAGAGCGCACUAGAGAGCAAAAUGAAUUAGAUUGAAAGAGGCCGAAAAUGGGGGAAAAUAUUUAGAGGGAACUUAAAUAUUUAUUUCCCGCUUUUUCUUUGUUGUUCUUUUCCACAUCCCAUUUAAAAUAAUGGGCUAUUAAAAGUUCAUUUUGGUGUAGUGCUAUUUGUGUCUCGAUCGUCCAUUUUCGUUCAAACUACUUUAAAGAUACAAGUAUGAUAACCAACAACACGAUCGAAAGAAUUGGUCUAUGCAACUUCAACCUACGUGGCUUUAUCAGGUUCACACACACAAUGAGUGACUUUCCUUCGUUUGGAUCCAUUUCGAAAAUUGUACUCUAUGGCCCAAAAUGAAAGGCCCAUCGUCUAUUUACUCAAAUCCUAGCAAUAAUUUAUUCUCACUUAAAAUUUUAAACGUAUAUGGAAAGUCCACAAUGCUCGACCCAAAAUUAACUUAUAAAAAUACCAAACCAUAGUCUUGCCUAUUUGGUAGUUAAUUUGAGUCUCAAAGCCCGACCCCAAUUACAAGAACACUCUCUCAUGAGAGACCCCAUUAUAAGAACACAUUCUCAAAGUUUUUAACCACUCACAUUUUUUAUCCACUCUCCAACUAGAUAAUACAGAAGGAAUUUAAUUAGAGUAAUCACACUAAAACUUAAAAUGUUUAUAAGUGAGAAUUUCUAAAUAAAUGAAAUAGGUUUCUUUUAUAGUCUUUGAGUCAAACUUUUCUAUAAAAAAAAUGGAUGUGAGAUAACCACAUCUUGCCAAACCCAAUACUUAAAAACAAACAAAUCAAAUCAUUAUUUUUACAAAAAAAAAAAAAACUAAAAAAAUGCAAGUCGAUUCCUAUUUAUUAAAAUAAUAAAGAAAACCAGUUACCAAAAUAUGAAAUUUGUUUUUAAAAAAUCUACAUCUAAAGAUCUACCAUAUUCAUAAAUUAAUAAUUCUUGUGUGAUUUCACAUUGAGAUCAUAAAUAACUUAAAAUUACCAUGUCGAAGGAAAUUUUUUUCGACAAGAGCCUAACUUAUAAAGGAAUGAUGGAAAAUAAUAUGGUGCAACCUUCAAAACAACAUAAAUAAGAAAAUAUUGCAACAUAGUUAGCAAAUAAGAGAGAAAGAGAAUGUAACCUGAAAAGGAAGUUUAUGAUUAAUUUCAUAAUUGUUGUGGUUUUGUCCAUGAUCUCUUUAAUAUUUUCUAUUAUCUUCAUUGCACUCCUAGUAAUUGAUACCCUUAGGCAACCACGGCUCAACAUCCUUCUUACAAAAAAAAUAGGCAAAAGACGAGGGGGCUUGUAGAGGUUAAUAAAAAAAAGGGGCAGAAUAGUAAAGGAUAAUGAAAACACAAAGAAAUGUAAUUACAGGGCGAACUUUUUGUGGGAGAAAUGGUAGAAUAAUUUGUAGAAAUUUGAUCGUCUUUUUUAUGUGAAGAAGACAAGAAGAACAAAGGAUAACAUAAAAGCAAAUUAGAAAUUCGUGGAGUUAUUACGGGAAAAACUAGCUCUGAGAGAAAGCUUGAAGAGAGAAAAUAAAUGAAAGGUACUCUGAUUUUGUGGACAAUGGCAAUCCACAACUCUCUUGUACAUUAUUUAAAAUAGAAAAUAGAAACUAGAACAUGAACCCCAUUGAUAAAUAAACCGCUAGCCUAACAAAAACCGUAAACCCCGAAUCCCUAACCCCUAAACCCCUUUGCUAUAGUAAAUGGUAUUUAAAAAUCUCAAAUUAACUAUCUUAAACACUAUUUCAAAUCCUCAAUUUCCUAUAAUAUUUAUUAUUUACUACGAUAUUUGUUAAAUUAUUUUUUUGUGAAGUUACAAAACUAUACUUGUUGAAAUACUUUGAAAAUUAUUCAAAAGAGAUGGAAAAAAAAAAGAUGCAGUGGAAAAUACAUCCACGUAUAUUUUCACAAUUUCAAAAUUAAUUUGACUAAAUACAAUUUAAUUUAGUCAAACCCUAAACCCUAGACCCGUAAACCCCUAAACAAACUCUUUUGUGAAUGAUAUCUUUGCGCCUAUAGCUCCUUUGACCGGAGUUAUCCCCUUUCCUCUCAUACUCUACUAGACUCUAUAAACUCCUAAUACUAGGAUUUUCAUAAUUCGAGAUCCGAACAAGGAGUUAGCUAUUUUAGUCAACUCCCUUCCUUGCAAAUCUGGACCCAAACACCCCAACAUGGUAACAAACGACUAUAAAAAAAAAAAAAAGUAAUAUCCACAAAAAUAGACAUGGUCCAAAUUCGAAAAAUACCUGUUUCUUGGUGAUGGAAUGGAGGGUUUGAGAGUGAUUGUGGUGUCCCCAUAGUUAGCAACCAUAUUGGUGGAGAUCAAGUAUUUGGUGUAAGUUAACAGAAGGUAUGAAGUAGAUGUUACAUAUUGCAUAUUACUGUCGCUCAUUCUGAACAGCAACCCUCCUUCACAAAACGGUAGGGGGAAGGGGUUAAACUUCAUUUUCUUUUUACCAUUUUACCGAUAAUAAAAAUAAAAAAGUAGUCGUUGAUCAUCAAAAUAAAAAAAGACAUGGAGUGUAUUUGGGGCAGGAGAAUGAUUCUCCGAGAAUGAUAAAGCAAAUGGCGCUGUUGUUGGGGGUUCUUGGCACGGUGUAGGAACUUUAGUUGAACCUUGCUGAAACUUUUGUUAGUUAAACAAUUGAAAGCAUAUUUUUAUUUUUACAAUAAUAGCAGCCAUACACACAUAUAUAAUAAAAGUUUUACAUAUUCUUAUCUCUUGAAUUUAUCUUUUCUUAAAUAGUACCAUAUAGAAGAGAAAAUAUAAAAAGAUCGCAUGCUCCCUUUUCCUCUUCUUGCUUAUAGUUUUGCACGAUCUUUACUCUCUCCUUGGUUUUUGAUGCAUGUCUUCUGCUCUAAAUAACAUAGAAAAUUUUGAAGACAUGAUAUGAUUAAAUAAAGAAGAUUAAGAAGAAGAAGAAAGAAACUUAAAAGAUAAAUUAGUUUAGGGCAAAACAAUCUUCAAGAAGAUCCACCCUUAGAAACACAUACCUGAAACCGAAACUUGAAACAGAACCUUGAAACCUAAACCUUGAACCCCAACAAACGAACCACAAAACCCCAAACCUUCAAACCCCAAAACUCCUAAACCCAAAACUUGAAACUCCAAACGCUCCAUCCCGAUGCUCGAAAUCACGAACCUCGAACCGAUCCAUGCACCCUAAACCCCGAAACCUGAAACCCUAAAAUCCAAACCCCCAAACCCCAAAACUUCUAAACCCAAAAAACCUCAAAACCUCAAACGCUCCACCCCGGAGCCUGAAAUCACAAACCCCAAAUCGAUCCAUACAUCUUAAACCCCGAAACCUAAAACACGAAACCCUAAAUCCCUAAAAACCGUAAACCGUAAACAAUAAACCCUAAACUUUAGCCCCUAAACCAUAAACCCUAAAGUACCCCAAAACCACAAACCUCGAAAGCUCGAAAGCUCGAAAAGUCUAAACCUUGAAACCUAAAACCCCUAACCAACCCUCAAACCUCCAAACCCCCAACCCCCAAACCCAAAAACCUCGAAACCUGAAACUUGAAAACCGAAACGCUCUACCCUGAGACCUGAAAUCCAACGAACUCCCAUAACCCUGAAAACCCCUAAAAACCUAAAACCGUAAACCAUAAAUCCUAAAUUUUAACCCUUAAACCAUAAACCCUAAAGUAACCAAAGUACCAAACCACGAACCACGAACCCCGAACCCCAAACCACGAACCCUGAACCCCAAACCCCAAUCCCCAAUCUCGAAACUCGAACCCUAAAAUCCUAAACACUAAACCCUAAAGUACCUUUAACCUCAAACCCCAAACCCCGAACCUUGAACGUCGAACCUCCAACCUUGAACCCUGAAACGAAACCUAAAACCCAAAAACUACAAACCUCGAAACCCAACCCACAAACCUUCAAACCCAACCCCAAACCUUCCAACCCCAAACCUCCAAACCCCAAACCCAACCCUGAAAAUCGAUAUCUAAAACCUGUAAUCCUAACUUCAAACUUUGUUGGUGGAGAUAACAAUUUCUAUUAUUUAGGGAGUAUCUAUGCAUUUUGCAUUAUGGAUUGGUUAGAAAUUUUUAGUUUCUUAUUAUGAUUCGAAUUACAUGCAUUUUGGGUAUCAAACUUUGAUUAAUAUUGGUCAUCGUCUCAGAAUCUAAUAACACACAACCCUAUAACUCUAACCUAAACCCUAAACCCUGAAACCCCAAACGCUCCACCCUGAAUCCCAAAAUCACGAACACUGAACCAAUCCAUGCACCUUAAACCUCGAAACCUAAAACCCUAAACCCUAAACCCCUAAAAAACCGUAAACCAUAAAUCCUAAACUUUUAACCCCUAAACCGUAAAACCUAAAGUAACCCAACCACGCAACCCGAACCAACCCGAACCCAAAAUCCUAAAUAAUAAACCCUAAAGUACCCCAAACCCAAACCCCGAACCUCGAACCCGAACCUUGAACCCAGAACGUGAAACCUAUAAUCCCAAAACCACAAACUUCGAAACCUCGAAAAGUCUAAACCUUGAAACCCAAAACCUCUAUACCCAAACCCAAAACCUUCCAACCCUCAACCCCCCCAAACCCCAAAACCUCAAAACCUCGAAAAGUCUAAACCUCGAAACCCAACCCCAACCUCUCAAACCUUCCAACCCUUAACCCCUAAACCUUCCAACACCCAAACCUCCAAACUCCCAACCCACCACACAAAACCCUAAACACCAAAACUCAAAAUCUGAAACCUGAAAUCCUAACUUCAAACUUUGUUGGUGGAGAUAACAAUUUCUAUUAUUUAGGGAAUAUCUAUGUAUUUUGUAUUAUGGAUUGGUUUGAAAUUUUAAGUUUCUUAUUAUGAUUCGAAUUACAUGCAUUUUGGGUAUCAAACUUUAAUUAAUAUUGGUCAUCGUCUCGAAAUCUAAUAACACACAGCCUUAAAACUCUACCCUCAACCCUAAACCCUGAAACCCCAAACGCACCACCCCAAAGCCCAAAAUCACGAACCUCGAACCAGUUCAUGCACCCUAAACCCAAAAAUUGAAACCGUAAAUCCCAAAUCCUCUAAACCCCUAAACUCCUAAACCUCAAAACUCCUAAAUCCGAAAUCCGAAACCUGUAAUCCUAACUUCAAACUUUUUUUGGUGGAGAUAAAAAUUUUUAUUAUUUAGGGAAUAUUCAUGGAUUUAGUUUGAAAUAUUGAGUUUUUUAUUAUGAUUCGAAUUACAUGCAUUUUGGGUAUCAAACUGUUGUUUAAUAUUGGUCAUCGUCUCAGAAUCUAAUAACACCCAGCCCUAUAACUCUAACCUAAACCCCAAACACUCCACCCAAAUCUCGAAAUCACGAACCCCGAACCGAUCCAUGCACCCUAAACCAGAAAUCUGAAAUCGCAAACCAUAAAUCCUAAACUUUAACCCCUAAAUCAUACACCCCAAAGUACCCCAAACCUCAAACCACGAACCCCAAACCUCAAUCCCGAAACUGGAACCCAAAGUCCUAAACACUAAACCCUAAAUACCCCUAACCCUGAACCCUAAACCUCGAACCUCGAACCUCGAACCUUGAACCUGAAACCCUGAAGCCAAAACCACCAACCUCGAAACCUCGAAAAGUCCAAACCUCGAAACCCAAACCGCAAACCUUCCAACCCUCAAACCCCAACCCCAACCCCAACCCAAACUCCAAAACCCCAAACCUCAAAAGUUCGAAAACCUAAACCUCGAAACCCAACCCCUACCUCUCAAACCAUCAAACCCUAAACCCUAAACCCUAAACCCUAAACCCAAAACCACAAAACCCCAAAACGACCAAACAAUCCUUAAGUGUAAGUUCGUAACUCACAAACUAACAAAAAGUUCAAAAUGUGUGAAAAUGCACUUUGAGACCUAAAAUGGCAACCAAGUAUGCAAGUGAAACAAACCUAGUCUUAAACAAAUCUAAAAUUUGUUCAAACUAUGUUUAAGUAUCACUUGAACUUUCAGAACGACCUAAGAACGUUUACUUGUAAGUUUGUCACUCAUAACCUACCAAAAAAUUCAAAAAGUACGGAAAAGAAAAAAACACUACAGGACCCAAAAUGGCAACCAAGUGUGCAAGUGCAACAAACUUAGUUCCAAACGAACCUAAAAAGUGGUCAAGGCGUGUCUAAGUAUUACUUGGACUUUCAAAACGACCUAACAAAGCUUAAGUGUAAGUUGGUAACCCAUAGCCUACCAAAAAGUUCAAAAAGUGUGAAAAGGGCACUUCAAGACCCAAAAUGGCAACCAGGUGGGUAAGGUCAACAAACUUAGUUUCAAACCAACCUACAACGAGUUCAAAACGUGUCUCAGUAUCACUUGAACUUUUAAAACGACCUAAAAAUCUUACGUGUAGGUUCGUAACUCAUAACCUACCAAAAAAGUUCAACUAGUGUGAAAAAAGCACUACAAGACCCAAAAUGGCAACCAAGUGUGCAAGUGCAAUAAACUUAGUGCAAACCAAGCUAAAACGUGCUCAAAACGUGUCUAGGUAUUACUUGAGUUUUCAAAAUGACCUAGCAAAUCCUAAGUGUAAGUUUGUAACUCAUAAUCUACCAAAAAGGUUGAAAAAAGAAUUUCAAGAACAAAAAUGACAACCAAGUGUGUAAGUGCAACAAACGCAAUCUAGCCUAAAAUGUAAUCAAAAUGUGUGUAAGCAUCACUUGAAUUUUCAAAACGACCAAACAAUGCUUAAAAUGUAAGUUUGUAACUCACAACCUACCAAAAUUUCAAAAAGUGUGAAAAAAGUACUUCAAGACCCAAAACGGAAACGAAGUAUCUAAGUGCAACGAACUUAGUUUCAAGCCAUCCUAAAAAGAGGUCAAAACGUGUCUAAGCUUUCAAACCGACCAAACAAUACUCAAGCGUAAGUUCGUAACUCACAACCUACAAAAAUUUCAAAAAGUGUGAAAAAAAAGCACUUCAAGACCCAACAUGUCAACCAAAUGUGUAACAAACAUAGUUCCAAACAAACACAAAAUGUGUUUAAAAGGACCUAACAAUGCUUAAGUGUAAGUUCGUAACUCAUAAACUAACAAAAAGUUCAAAAUGCUUGUGAAACAAGUAUGCAAGUGAAACAAACUUAGUCUUAAACAAAUCUAAAAAAUUUCAACGUGUUUAAGUAUCACUUGAACUUUCAGAACAACCUAAGAAUGUUUAUUUGUAAGUUCGUCACUCAUAACCUACCAAAAAGUUCAAAAAGUAUGGAAAAAAAAAACACUCGAGGAUCCAAAAUGGCAACCAAGUGUGCAAGUGCAACAAACUUAGUUCCAAACCAACCUAAAAAGUGGUCAAGGCGUGUCUAAGUAUCACUUGGACUUUCAAAACGAUCUAAGAAAGCUUAAGUGUAAUUUGGUAACCCAUAGCCUACCAAAAAGUUCAAAAAGUGUGAAAACAGCACGUCAAGACCCAAAAUGGCAACCAAGUGGGUAGGUCAAUAAACUUAGUUUCAAACCAACCUAAAACGAGUUCAAAACGUGUCUAAGUAUCACUUGAACUUUCAAAAGGAUCUAAAAAAGCUUAUGUGUAGGUUCGUAACUAAUAAGCUACCAAAAAGUUCAAAAAGUGUGAAAAGAGCACUUGAAGACCCAAAAUGACAACCAAGUAUGUAAGUGCAACAAACUCAAUCUAACCUAAAAUGUAUUCAAAACGUGUGUAAGUAUCACUUGAACUUUCAAAACGACCAAACAAUGCUUAAGUAUAAGUUUGUAACUCACAAAGCCUACCAAAAUUUCAAAAAGUGUGAAAAAAGCACUUCCAUGACCCAAAAUGGCAACCAAGUGCACAAGUGCAACAAACUUAGUUCCAAACCAACCUAAAAAGUGAUCAAGGUGUGUCGAAGUAUCACUUGGACUUUGAAAACAAUCUAGCAAAGCUUAAGUGUAAGUUGGUAAUGAUAGAACUAAGACAUGCACAGCAGAAAAAAGAAUCGAAUUUCUACCCUAAUUGCCACAAUUAACAUGUAACCCUAAACUAAUCAAGUUAGGGUUUUAGGAAAUAUUACCUUUGAAGCUUUCAAAAAACUUUGAUACCUUCUUGUCAAUUCAAACCGAGACCACCACUAGUACUCAACUACUAUUCUCUUGGACAAAGAACCGGGUUGUGGGACCCAAUUUGGUGUAGAAAGAAAUGAAGAUAAAAUGGAAUUGGAAGGUAGAAAUUUUUUUCUUUUGUUGAGAUGUUGGAGGAUAAUAAAAAAGGCAAAAGUCUUCAACAAUUUGAAAACUCCCCUAUUAUCCUAAUUACAUGCAAAAAUGCAUGUAGUUAAUUUGCCAAAUCUCAACACCUAAUGUUCCACUAACAAUUAGUGGAACUUAGUGGGCUAGGUGUCUAUAUCUAUAGCCACAUAUCCCACUAAGAGUUAGUGGGAUUAUCCAACAAAAAUGUUGGAUUUUGUCACUAACUUAGUCCAAGGGUAAAAUGGUCAUUAAAUAUUUCAAGUCAAAAGUCAAACUUUGACUUUUCUUAGUCAAAAGUCAACAUUUUGACUUUUUACUAUUUUUGACUAAUUCCAUCAAUUCCGAGCUUCUUAGUAUGAAUCCGCAUUCAUACUUAUAGUAUGUAAAACAUAAAGCUCUAUUUCUAAUUAGAAAGCUCUAUUUCUAAUUAGAAGACCGACAACUAUAUCACUAUAUUUGUCGGUUUCUCUUUCUUCUUCCAAUUCGAACAAUUCGAUUUAUUUCAUCACACUGUUCUAAGUUUAAUCCAUAUGAGCUAGCAGGGGAACCUAAUGGACCUAUAGAUCAUGGCCUCCAACGAUUCAAGAUUAACUAGCCAAACUCUUUUAGACCGAGUUAAUCAACAUUCGUUAACUAACGGGUCAUUCCACUAAAGUCCCGUAGUUGCACUCCCCUCACUAUAGAUAUAUGUGUGUCCAUUUGAUAAAACCAUAAUCAGUAAGUUAAUCCUUCACAGGUUGCUCGUAACCUUGGCUGGGUCAAAAAUACCGUUUUACCCCCCAAGAUUACAUUUUGGCUUCUUAAGUCCCACUAAUCCACUAUUGAACAAUUGGUUUAAGGUUCAACCUAUAAACUUAAUCCCUCUCGCGGCGCAAUGAGAGGGUGGGGGCCCCUUGUUCAAGACUUGGAUUCAGUGCUUAAGAGAACAACCUAUCUACUAAACCUAAAGCGGGUAGGAGUGAAUUCCAUCUUGUACCCUAUGUUCCCAGUUAUCCACUAGAUCUUACCCCUGAAAUGGGAGGCUUAUUGGGUCAACCCUGAUGAGCUGCCCUCAUCUAUGCAGAUCUAAGGAUAAUCUCGUGUGAACAGGAGUUCAUAGUUAACUCAGAAUUAAGAUUAAGUUACCUAGGUCAUCAAUAAUCGAGAUAGUCAGUUUUAAACAGUAAACGGUGUUAUAACGUAAAAAAGACUAAUUCAUGGUUUAGUCUUAUGUAAACACUUUACAUAGGAUGCCCCCACUUUCAUGUCUCUACAUGAACGAUUCAGGAUCACCUCGUUUGUACUACAAAGUGGGCCGCAUCCAUAGUUUCUCUAAAUAAGGCGCCCAACCUUUAUUCAUAUACUAUAGACUAUUUAGGCUAUAUAUACUCGAACUUGAUCCACGUUUAUAUUUACACAUAAAGUUCAAGUUUAUUCAAAAAAUAGCCUUGGAACUUGAUUUAUUGGAUUUAGGAUUAUUUAAUUUCUCAAUAACAACUUUAUUGAAACAAAAUAUGAUUACAAACUACGAGUUUUAGGACAAAAAAUUCCAACAGGUAACUCAUAGCCUACCAAAAAGUUCAAAAAGUGUGAAAAGAGCACUUUAAGACCAAAAUGACAACCAAGUGAGUAAGGUCAACAAACUUAGUUUCAAACCAACCUAAAACAAGUUCAAAACGUGUCUAAGUAUCACUUGAAUUUUCAAAACGACCUAAGAAAGCUUACGUGUAGGUUCGUAACUCAUAAGCUACCAAAAAGUUCAAAAAGUGUGAAAAGAGCACUUCAAGAUGACAACCAAGUGUGUAAGUGCAACAAACUUAGUAUCAAACCAACCUAAAACGUGCUCAAAACGUGUCUAGGUAUUACUUGAGUUUUUAAAACGACCUAGCAACUCUUAAGUUCUUCUGCCUUCUCCUUCAACGCUUAGACAGAUUGUUGAAAUUCUGUGUUUCUGCAAUGUUUCCCAGAACAUGAAACAUUCGUUACAGAAAUAAAUACCAUGAAUACAAACCGUGAAGAAACAGUAAAAAACAGUCAAUACAAGAAGCAAGUGGAAACUCAGAAGUUUCAUAUUUCAUCAGGAUGAUUUUCAUUCUGAUUGUCUAAUAUUCAACUCUAAUUACAUAAGGUGCAUUAGUGUGUAAGCAAAGACGGAAACAAAAGAAACAUAACUCACAUUACCGCCUUCUCUAAUUGAUCCAUUUGCAUCACGUAUGCAGUAGACCUGUUGCGUUUGGAACUGUUGAAAUUCAAUAAAAAGGAGUUAACAUCAUCUCAUCCUACAAAACAAAAUCCACAACUAUAGAAUAAAGAUUGUCAGAGCAUACAACUACAAUGAUAAUGGGAGUGCUUCCCAUCAUCUUGGUCUCUCGCACCUCAACAUCUGAAAUGUGCAGAAUCUGUUUAUUAUAACAGAAAUAAUUACUUUUAAGUCAUAGAAAAAAGCCUUACAUUAAUUAGAAUACCAUCCACCUAUCAAGGUGUGUACAGACCUCAAACAAUAGCCAAAGCACAAGGGGUGUGUUUAAUGCAAUUAUGAACCCUUCAAUAUAAAAAAAAUGAUUAAUAAUAAAAUACUCAGAUGUUUUCUUUCACUCUCGUACUAUUGUUUAAGUGCUUCUUGGUCAAGCACCUAGACCAAAAGGCUAUCUAUGAGCGUUUUCUAGUUUCUGAAAAAAGAAAUACUCUAAUGUGUGGUCGUACUAGCAUAAACAGUCGUAGAUAAUUAUGAGAUGAUACCCUUCGUAAUGGGAUAAGAUAAUACUUACUAUUAUUUAGUAUUUUCUUUUAUUUAAUUGAAGAAAUAAUUGGAAAAUAAAACAGAAAGUACAAAAAUGAGUAAUAACCCCUAGUAGAGACCAAUACGAUUCAAUUCAACAUUUUGUUUGGUCUCUCGACAUGAUGAUAAUUUUUACCUAGAGUGCUUUUGCUUUACCUAGAGUGCUUCUAGGCCAUAAUGCAAUUAUUAACACGUGACAGAGUUCCCACAUAUGACUUUAUUCUCUCAUUGUUGCCCAUUAUGUAAAGUUGUCGAUGAAACACCAGCCAGUUUAUUAGUUGCCAUUUUGCUGAAAAAUUUAGGAAGCAGAUCUAUCUCUCCUUUGGUUAAUGCCACCCUAUGAAACAAAUAUUAUGAACCUUCUUUUAUGCACCCUCACUGGCACUCUUUACUGACUUUAAAAGAAUUAUGUGGAUGCAUCUUAUUCGGAAAUUUUUACAAAUUCGCAUGGAAGGAACAUGAACAAUCGCCUCCUUAGUGAAAAGGCAUGCCUUAAGAUAGGUUUUUUAUUCUUUUUAAAAUAUAAUCUAUCCUGCUAUGACUUAGUGCAAUUUUUCAUGUCUCUAUAGCUAUUCCAAUCUCUAUUCUUGCAUCUCUUCUGACUGAUUGGAGAAAUCUCUUGUAAACUCUAUUGGCGUGGGUGUUCCACCAAACCUUUUGUAAAUUUCAUACAUCAAUAAAAUUACUUCUUAUAAAAAAAAAAUAAGGGGAAGAAACUACGUUUUAGAGACAGAUGGCUCUAAAGCACAUACAAACAAUCUCCAUCUCACUCUCUAUCUGCCCUGUUUCCAAUUUAAUCCGACAUUCAUUUGAGGUUAUUGUAGGUUCAUAUUUAGAAAUAGUCAUUCAUGUUGUGAUGCAAAAUCCUUUUUAUGUAUCUAAAACUAAAAUCACGAAAAUCAUCGUGGACAUGCAGCACAACAAACUAAAUUUUCACGGGAAGCCUUUGCUAACAAAAUCAUAGACAAUAAUUACUCAAACAAGAGAGAAAGACUAUAAUUAAUUAACAGAAGUACAAAUCAAUAUAGGUGCACAACCACCAAGCAAGAGAGAAGAAACAAUAAACUUCAAUAACAAAAGAAAGGUAGUAUCAGGACUAUCCUUACUUGUUAUCGAAGAAGAUACCUUGGCCCUGGUAAGCCCGAUACUCUUCCAUACAACGUUCAAUUACCUCAGUACUACAGCGUUUUUUUCAAAGUUUGGGAAUCUACCUAAAACAUAAAUAUAUAUUACAACUUGAAAACCUCCAUGUCAGAAACUUUACUUUAAUUAUCAAACCAGAUGCUAUGCAAGAAUUAGUUAGCAGAAAUACAACAUAAAUAGUAAUGAUAUUCUUUGGGGAGGGGAUAAAAGCAUCUUUCAUCUUAGAAAUAAGCUUAGCAGUUAGCAUUAACCUUUAUAUUUUGAUUACGUCUUAAACUUCAUCUACAAAAUCUGGUAAACAGAAAGACCUAAUCCAUAAUGCUAAAGAGGAAAAGACCAAGUCAGAUUCCUUUAUUCAAACAGGUUAGUAUCACAGCUCCAAAAGGAAAAAACUUACGGAUCUCUACGACGAAUUCCUUGAAUGAUGUAGCAGCAUCUGAUGCUUGAAACACGGUUUCAUUUAUGUUGUGAAAAAUAAGAUCGAUAAAUAAAACUUUUGGCUACAAUUAGCCACAGAAACAUAAAGUUGUGACAGGAAAAUAAAAGCUAACAGAUAAUUAACUAUACAGUUUGUAGGCAAAAUACCAAAUAGCCCAUAAUCAAGAUCACAACUCAAGCAGACAAUAAUGUGUAGUUUAUCAUUUCCAACCAAAUAAUUCAAUAAUACAUAAGGUCAAAUGGCCAAAUAAUAUGGCCUUUCACAUAAAUACUUGCUCCCUGAAUAUUUUGAACGAUAAUGUUAUCGUUUCUCUCCCACGUUUCACGAAGGUGUUGGAAUUUUUUGUCCUAAAACUCGUAGUUUGUAAAUCAUAUUCUGUUCAAUAAAGUUGUUAUUGAGAAAUUAAAUAUUAUAAUCUUAAAUCCAAUAAAUCAAGUUCCAAGACUAUUUUUGAAUAAACUUGAACUUUAUGUGUAAACAUAAACGUGGAUCAAGUUCGAGUAUAUAGCCUAAAUAGUCUAUAGUAUAUGAAAUAAAGGUUGGGCGCCUUAUUUAGAGAAACUAUGGAUGCGGCCCACUUUGUAGUACAAACGAGGUGAUCCUAAUCGUUCAUGUAGAGACAUGAAAGUGGGGACAUCCUAUGUAAAAUGUUUACAUAAGACUGAAUCAUGAAUUAGUCUUUUUUACGUUAUAACACCGUUUAUUGUUUAAAAUUGACUAUCUCAAUUAUUGAUGACCUUGGUAACUUAGUCUUAAUCCUGAGUUAACUAUGAAUUCCUGAUCACACGAGAUUAUCCUUAGAUCUGCAUAGGUGACGGUAGCUCAUCAGCGUUGGCCCAAAAGCCUCCCAUUUCAGGGGUAAGAUCGGGUGGAUAGCUGGGCACAUAGGGUACAAGAUGAAAUUCACUCCUACCCGCUUUAGGGUUAGUAAAUAGGUUGUUCUCUUAAGCACUGAAUCCAAGUCUUGAACAAGGGGCCCCACCCUCUCAUUGGCCCGAGAGGGAUUAAGUUUAUAGGUUCAACCUUAAACCAAUUGUUCAAUAGUGGAUUAGUGGGACUUAAGGAGGAAGAUGUAAUCUUGGGGGUAAAACGGUAUUUUGACCCAGCCAAGGUUACGAGCAACCUGUGAAGGAUUAACUUACUGAUUAUGGUUUUAUCAAAUGGACACAAAUAUAUCUAUAGUGAGGGGAGUGCAACUACGGGACUUUAGUGGAAUGACCCGUUAGUUAACGAAUGUUGAUUAACUCGGUUUAAAAGAGUUUAGCUAGUUAAUCUUGAAUCGUUUGAGCCCAUGAUCUAUAGGUCCAUUAGGUUCCUCUGCUAGCUCAUAUGGAUUAAACUUAGAACAGUGUGAUGAAAUAAGUCGAAUUGUUCGAAUUGGGAGAAGAAAGGGAAACCGACAAAUAUAGUGAUAUAGUCGUCGGUCUUCUAAUUAGAAAUAGAGCUUUAUGUUUUACAUACUAUAAGUAUGAAUGCGGAUUCAUACUAAGAAGCUCGGAAUUGAAGAAAUUGGUCAAAAAUAGUAAAAAGUCAAAAUAGUAAACUUUUGGCUUUGAAAAGUCAAACUUUGAUCGGCCUUAUAUUCAAAUGUAAUUUGAAUUUUGGAAAAAUGAAUGCGGAUUCAUGCUCGGGAGGUUAGAAUUAGUCAAGAUGGACAAAAUGAUAAAAGUCAAAAUAUUGACUUUUGACUAAGAAAAGUCAAAGUUUGACUUUUGACUAGAAAUAUCUAAUGACCAUUUUACCCUUGGACUAAGUUAGUGGGAAAAUCCAACAUUUUGUUGGAUAAUCCCACUAACUCUUAGUGGGAUAUGUGGCUAUAUGAGAUAUAGACACCUAGCCCACUAAGUUCCACUAAUUGUUAGUGGAACAUUAGGUGUUGAGAUUUGGCCAAUGAAUUGCAUGCAUUUUUGCAUGUAAUUAGGUUAUAAAUAGAGGUGUUUUCAAAUGUUGAAGGACUUUUGCCUCUUUUAUCAUUUUCAUCAUCUCAACCAAAGAAAAAAAAGGAAACCUUUCAAUCCCAUUUUAUCUCCAUUACUUUCUACACCAAAAUUGGGUCCCACAACCCGAUUCUUUGUCUAGAGGAUAGCAGUUGAGUACUAGUGGUGGUCUCGGUUAUAAUUGGUAAGAAGAUAUCAAACUUUUUUGAAAGCUUCAAAGUUAAUAUUUUCUAAAACCCUAAUUUGAUUAGUUUAUGGUUACAUGUUAAUUGUGGCAAUUAGGGUAGAAAUUCGAUUCUUUUUCUGCUGUGCAUAACUUAGUUCUAUCAAAAGGUACUUUAAGGUUUAGUGUUUAGAAUUUCAUGUGUCGGGGUUUUGGGGUUUUGGUGUUGGGAGUUUAGAGGUUUGGAGGCUGGGAGGUUGGAAGGUUUGAGGGGUUGGGGGUUGGGUUUAGUGGUCUCGGGGUUUUAGGGUUUGGGGGUUGAGGGUUGGGUUUAGGGGUUCUGGGUUUCGUUCGAGGUUUUGGGGUUUGGGGGUUGGGGGUUUGGGAGUUGGGGAUUGGAAGGUUUGGCAGUUGGGUUUAGGGGUUUUGGGUUUCGAGGUUCCAAGGUUUGUGGUUUUAGGGUUUUCGAUUUCGAGUUUAGGGUUCGAGGUUCAAGGUGCGAGGUACGAGGUUCAUGAUUCGAGAUUUGGAGUUAAGGGUACUUUAGGGUUUAGUGUUUAGGAUUUUAGGUUUGGAUUUCAGGAUUGGGGUUUGGGGUUCGGAGUUUGUGGUUUGGGGUACUUUGGGGUUUAUGGAUUAGGGGUUAAAGUUUAGGAUUUAUGGUUUACGGUUUUAGGUUUUUGAGGGUUUAAGGUUUAAGGUUUAAGGUGCAUGGAUCGGUUCGGGGUUCGUGAUUUCAAGAUUCGAGGUGUAGCGUUUGGAAUUUCAGGGUUUAGGGUUUAAGAUUUAGGUUAGAGUUAUAGGGUUGUGUGUUAUUAGAUUCUGAGACGAUGACCAAUAAUAAUCAAAGUUUGAUACCCAUAAUAAGAAGCUCAAUUUUUCAAACGAAUCGACAAUACAAAAUGAAUAGAUAUUCCUUAAAUAAUAGAAAUUGUUAUCUCCACCAGCAAAGUUUGGAGUUAGGAUUACAUGUUUCGAAUUUCGAGUUUCAGGGUUUUGGGGUUUUGGGGUUGGGGGUUGGGGUUUUGGAGGUUUAGGGGUUAGGGGUUAGGGGUUGGAAGGUUUGAGGGGUUGGGGGUUGGGUUUCGAGGUUCAGGCUUUUUGAGGUUUCGACGUUUUGGGGUUUUGGGGGUUGGGGGUUUAGGGUUUGGGGGAUGGGAGGUUGGAAGGUUUGGGGUUUGGGUUUAGGGGUUUUGGUUUCGAGGUUCAAACAUUUUAAGGUUUUGAGGUUUGUGGUUUUGGGGUUAUAGGUUUCGAAGUUCGAGGUUUGACAUUCGAGGUUCGAAUUUCAGGGUUCGGGUUUAGGGUUUGGGGUUAGAGGUUAAGGGUACUUUAGGGUUUAGUGUUUAGGAUUUUGGGUUUGGAUUUCGAGAUUGGGGAUUGGGGUUUGGGGUUUACGGUUUAGAGUUAAGUUAAAGUUUAGGAUUUAUGGUUUUAGGGGUUUAGGGUUUAGGGUACAUGGAUCGGUUCGGAGUUCGUGAUUUCAAGAUUCGGGGUGGAGCGUUUGGGGUUUCAUAGUCUAAGGUUUAGGUUAGAGUUAAAGGGUUGUGUGUUAUUAGAUUAUGAGACGAUGACCAAUAUUAAUCAAAGUUUGAUACCCAAAAUGCAUGUAAUUCGAAUCAUAAUAAGAAACUCAACAUUUCAAACCAAUCCAUAAUACAAAAUGCAUAGAUAUUCCCUAACUAAUAGAAAUUGUUAUCUCCACCAACAAAGUUUGAAGUUAGGAUUACAGGUUUCAGAUUUCGAGUUUCAGGGAUUAGGGGUUUUGUGGUUGGUGGUUGGGGGUUUGGAGGUUUGGAGGUUUGGGGGUUGGGUUUCGAGGUUUGUGGUUUUGAGGUUUUAGGUUUCGUGUUCAGGGUUCGAGGUGCGAGGUUCGAGGUUAGGGGUACUUUAGGGUUUAGUGUUUAGGAUUUUAGGGUUCUGGUUUCGAGAUUGGGGAGGGUUUCGGGUUCAAGGUUCGUGGUUUGGGGUACUUUAGGGUUUAUGGUUUAGGGGUUAAAGUUUAGGUUUUAUUGUCUACGGCUUUAGGUUUUUAGGGGUUUAAGGUUUAGUGUUUUAGGUUUCAGGGUUUAGGGUGCAUGGAUCGGGGUUCGUGAUUUCGAGUUUCUGGGUAGAGCGUUUGGGGUUUCAAGUUUUAGGUUUCGGGGUUUUGGGGUUUUUGGGUUUUUGGGUUUGGGGGUUGGGUUAGAGGUUUUAGGUUUCGAGGUUUAGACUUUUCGAGGUUUCGAGGUUUGUGGUUUUGGGGUUUCAGGUUUCGUGUUCGGGGUUCGAGGUUCAGGGUUUGGGGUUCGAGGACUAUAGAGGAUUGAGGCUAACCACCAAUCAGGAUGAAAAAUGAAAACAAAUUAUAUUAUAAACAUUCUCAAAUCUAAUCCGAUAUAAUAAUAAAAGUUUGAAAAAGUAGCACCACUCAACAAAUAAAAACAACAAAAUUUUGUGGGAAAUUGUCUGUAUGGCCAAAAACAAUAUUCCAAAAGUUCUUCAAUGCUAAAAAGAAAGAGGAUAAAGAAGAUAAUAAACAUUAAACUGGAGAGUAUCAUUUCCUAUACCAUCCAACGUGUAGCUAAUAGAGUGACGCAUCGGUAAGAGUAUAAAUAAAAUUGAAAACUAAGAGUGCUCAGUUUUACUUUGAUCGUGCAAAUGGUCUAUCUUUCUCGAGUUCUAACUCCAUAAGUUUAGCUUCUACUUCUCAGUUUUUAGCUAAGCCCAUGCCCCAUUCCAACUUUAUCUCCUGUGACCGGAGACCAGCAUCACAAGCAGCCACAGUGAGAUUUGAUAAAAGCAUUGAUAAGAACUAUAACUUCUGAGAAGUACAUAGUUUAAAGUAGAAUUUUAAUUAAAUCUUAACUCUUGAAUACCACCCUAAGACUUCAAUACUAUACUUUAAUUCAACCAACCACUAAUAAACAUAGAACAAGAAAUUGGAACAAGUCUGAAUUAUUAAUAUCACAAAGCCUAAAUAUUAGAAUUAUCAAUAUGAAAAAAGAUGAAACAAGUCUCAACUCAAGAUAGCUAGUUUUGAGAAGCUUUAAGUUUGUAGCUUUUCAACAUAGUCAACAAAACAUGAAGCAUACCUAAAGAAAGAGAAAGUCUCAUGCUAUUAAAUUAAUUGAAACCACAAGCAACAACAAAAAAAUUAGCUUGAUUAAACAAGUUCUUAAUAAUCUUUUGAUUGAGCCAAACAAGCUAAACCACACCAUUCAGACUAGUCAAAAGCAAACAACCCAAAUGCUGAAUUUCAUUAUGAUUCGUCCUAACAUGUAUAUAUAUCUAAACAUGAAACUAAAACUUCCCAAUUUUGCAUAAGCUUAAAAAAGACAUGAAUUUAAGAUAAUUAAAAAAGUUAUCUAAGGUACCCAAAGGAUCGCUUCUUUUUUUAAUAUUAUUAUUAUUGAAAAAGUUAACUACAGGAGGAACCUCUUCAAUAAAAAGUUCUGCACCAAGAUCACCUCUGACAACCAUUGCCUAAAAUGAAAAUAAAUAAUGUUCUUCAAUUAGCAACAAAGCCCCAGACUACCAACAAAAUUGAAAACCUUUGAAUGAAAUUUAACAUUAACGAAGCUAUAAAAAAAUUCAAACAAUUACCCCAUCAGAAGCUGUAAUAAUUGAAUGCAAAUUUGGUAUGGAGUAUACACUUUCUAUAUUUACAAUCACGUUAAUAUCAGCAUCACAGCCUGUAGAGUCAGAUAAGUUAAUAAGUUUGUAGUAGAACAGACUAGCAGAAAUGGCAGCAUCCAAAUUGUCUUUAUAAGCACAACAUAAAGAUCUGAAGCUAUUUACUCUUGAGGUAUUUCAACUCAUGAACUAGUUUGUUGUCAACUCCAAAUUUAAUAUCAUCCAAAUCCUUCUCAGCAAGAAGUAGACAACAAAUUCAUUGAGUCACAGACAAAAAAAUAAAUUUACUUAUAGAAAAAUCCCGAAAAGAAGAAACUUCACGAAAAGGUGAAAUCUAUAGGAUAUGCUUAUUCAAUCCAACCAAUAAUUGAAGGAAGUGUAGCACUUUUCCCUCGAACAUUUAAAUGUCUCAUGGACUUGAGCUCUCCUCCAUCAAUAACUUCACAUAAGACAGAAUCUUCUGUCUUAGACUUCACCAUCAACGACAUCAUUCCACCUCUAAUGGAUUUAAAUAGCCAAUGUUUGUGCAAGCCACGAGAUAAUUAGAAAAAAAGAAAGCACAUGCGAUGUAACAUACAUAAAAAAAUAAUAAUAAACAUUAUACAUCAUCUAAGAUAGCAACAAGGAAAUACUAAAGAACUUGGGCAUCACAUAGGUGUGGGUGUGGGAGGGAGAUCAAACCAUUUGCUAUAGUCAAUCCAUCCAGUGAAAAAAGUCAAUAUGUCGUUUCCCUUGGCUAAAACCAUUUGCUAUAAUCUGGCUCAUUUAGAACUUAUUUGAAAGUUCAUUGCUGUGAUAUAUAUAUAUAUAUAUAUAUAUAUAUAUAUAUAUAUAUAUAUAUAUAUGUCAUUUAUUAUAAUUUUACAUGGUCUCUAGGGUUUAGUUUAUUCUCUAUAUAAAUAUGUAACAUUGCUUUGACUCAAACAUAAUAAGACAGAUACUUCUCUGAAUUCUAGAUUACAUGGUAUCAGAGCCAUUAGGGUUUUGAAUGGCCAUUAGCUUCCUCCUCCAUUAGGUUCGAGUUUAGGUUACCUUCCGCUGACCAUUUGUCGACACCGCCCAUACCAUAAGAAGCACCACCUCCGUCCGCCCAAGUCUGUCUUCGCCGAUCGCCGGAAAACACCGCGUGUGACCUUCACGCACCACCGGAAUCAUCGUCGCCUUCACCCACGCAUCGGCGCGUGAGAAGUUUGAUUUGUCUUUCGUCUUCUGGGCUUGUCUCGAACCAUUGUUUCCUGUCAGUCUGUACCAUUGGGUCUAUCAAAUAACAUUUGGGUUUGACGAAAACUGAAGGUUACACGAUUGGUUUUGGGUCUUUUUCCAAUUUUGCAGCUGUUUGGAUCGAUUUUCUCUUUGUUCGUGUGGACUACAAUCAACGUGUGACUUCAAUAUGGCCGACAUAAAAAAUUUGGUAGUCUCCAACGUUAUUCCCUUGGCCUCUAAGAUCACAGAACAUAAGUUAAAUGGAUCCAAUUAUUACGAUUGGCGUCAAACAAUUUUAUUUUAUUUGAGAAGUACUGAUAUGGAUGAUCAAUAUGACUGAAGAUCCCCCAAAAGAUGCAAAGCAGAAGAAGGAUUGGCUUCGUGAUGAUGCCCGUUUAUAUCUUUAGAUCAAGAAUUCAAUUGAGAGUGAGAUAAUUGGAUUGGUUGAUUACUGUGAGUCUGUUAAAGAACUUUUAGAAUUUUUGGAUUUUCUAUACUCAGGUAAAGAGCAAGUGCUGAUAGAAUGUUUGAAGUUUGUAUGCAAUUUUUUCGUGCGGAACAGAAAGCUGAGUCUGUCACCAGCUACUUUAUGCGGCUUAAGAAGAUCAUUGCCGAGCUUGGCUUGUUGUUACCUUUAGUCUUGAUGUUAAAGUUCAACAAGUUCAACGAGAGAAGAUGGCUGUUAUGAUUUUCCUGAAUGGACUCUUACCUGAAUUUGGAAUGGCAAAGACACAGAUUCUCUCUGACUCCAAGAUUCCAUCAUUAGAUGAUGCCUUCACUCGAGUCCUUCGCAUUGAAAGCUCUCCGACUAGUGUGUCUAUUCCUCAACCCAGUAGUGCUCUCUUUUAGCAAGAACAAUAACCCUCGAGCACCUCAGAGGAAUAGUACUGAUCAUCGAAAACCAGAGUCUGUAGAGAUUGUUUUGUAACUACUGUCGUAAGCCAGGCCAUAUGAAACGUGAUUGUCGGAAAUUGCUAUAUAAGAAUAGUCAACGAUCUCAACAUGCUCAGAUAACCUCCACAUGUGAUAUACCAGAGGCGUCAGUUACUAUUUUUGCAAAUGAGUUUGCUAAGUUUCAGAAUUACCAAGAGUCAUUACAAGCGUCAUCUUCCUCUACUCCGAUUGCAUCCACUGUUACCCUAGGUAAUACAAAGUGUCUUCUUACAUCAUCUACCAAAUGGGUCAUAGACUCUGGUGCCAAAGCUCACAUGACAGGUAAUUCUCACCUAUUUUCUAGAUCGUUGUCCCCUGCCCCUUUUCCAUCGGUUACAUUGGUCGAUGGCUCCACAUCUUCUGCUCUUGGCUCUGGCACUAUUCACCUUACCCCAUCCUUUUCUCUCUCUUCUGUGUUACAUUUGCGUAACUUAUCCUUUAAUUUAAUUUCUACUAGUCAACUUACUCAUGACCUAAAUUGUGUUGUCAUGUUCUUUUCUGGUUAUUGCUUGUUUUAGGAUCGUGUGACGAAAAAGAUUAUUGGUAGAGGAUAUGAGUCAGGAGGUCUUUAUCUCUUUGAUCAUCAAGUAUCGCAAGCUGUGGCGUGUCCUGUCGUUCCCUCUCCUUUUGAAGUCCAUUGUCGUUUAGAUCAUCCAUCUUUGUUUGUGUUGAAGAAACUUUAUCCAGAAUUUAGGUCUUUGUCCUCUUUAAAUUGUGAUUUGUGUCAAUUUGCGAAAUUUCAUCGUCUUAGUUCGAGUCCUCGAGUCGAUAAACGAGGAAUUGCUGCAUUUGAGUUAGUUCAUACUGAUAUUUGGGGUCCAUGUCCAGUUGUAUCUCAAACAGGCUUUUGUUAUUUUGUUACUUUUGUUGACGAUCAUUCUCGUCUAACUUGGUUAUAUUUAAUGAAAAAUCGUUCUGAGUUAUUAUCUCAUUUUUGUGCCUUUCAUACUGAAAUAAACAACCAGUUUAUUGUCUCUAUCAAAACUUUGCGUACUGAUAAUGCAGGUGAAUAUUUUUCUCAUUCUCUUGGCUCUUACUUGUGUGAAAAUGGCAUUAUUUAUCAGUCUUCCUGUGCUGACACUCCAUCUCAAAAUGGUGUUGCAGAGCGAAAAAAAAGGCAUUUACUUGAAACUGCCCGUGCUUUAUCGUUUCAAAUGUAUGUUUCAAAAACCUUUUGUGUGGAUGCUGUCUCUACAGCUUGUUUUUUGAUUAAUCAGGAAGCUUCACAGAGCAAGGUAAAGCUUAAGAAUUCAGAGUUAGUUAAGAUCAAAACCAUAAUCAUACAACAAUCAACAACAAACAAAUCUCAUAUCUCAUCAAAUUUUUCAAAAAGAUAAAUAAAAGAAAACAAGUAAGAAUCAGACAAGCAAACAUACAAUGUCUAUUUUUCCAUUUGAAUUUUUCCUACAUCUGUUAAGUUCCAAAUAUGUUUUUGAGUCAUUGGAAAUUACUUUUUAUAUUACAAAAUCACUUUUAAAAGUAGACACAAACAAAGGUUAAUAUGGCUAAUGGAACAAUAACCUACAAAUUUUUAGGUACUCUACCCUACAAAUUAAAUUCACAAUUCUUGCAACAAUGCUUUUGACUUCAUUUAUAUCAAGAUAUUGAUGUCACACAAGUGAUACUAAUAACAAGAAACAAAACCAAGAAUCAAUAGUUUCAUCAUUUUUUCUUUUCUCUUGGGCAUUGCCGAUCUCAUUCUAAAGUGAUUUUCCUUAGCCAAAACAACAAUGAAAUCAAAUCACAGUUACUAUGAAAAUGUUAGUGUAAAGUACGAAGCAUUCUUCUUCAUUUUUGGGUUGAUCCAUUCUCCAUUGUACUCAAUGGAAAAUUAAAUUAAAAUUAUGGAACUGUUUCUUCAUCCAUUUCCAAUAAACCCAGUUAAAGAAAUCACUCAGAACAACAAAAAAAUGAUAAUAAAUAUAUAGCAACUUUGAACAAGAAAACAUGUUUUUGAAUUGAAUCUUUCCCUUAGCCAAUAUCAAAGUUUUAAUACAGUGGAAGAACACUUUUAACAAAACAUUUAUUAAUAAAAAUUAACUUUGUUAACUAGUUUCUAAAAACACUCUCAAAUAUGCCUUCCAUAACCUGGUUUAAGUUUUGAAGAAAAAUGACUAAUGGGCUGGGAUACUCAUGCCAUGGAGUGGCAAAAAAGAGGCUGAACUUUGUAUUUGAAGUAUCAUGUUGGUGAAGACAUGUAAAAGGUCUUAUGAACAUUUCAAUUUAACUCUUUUGUCUCUUGAGUACUAUAGCUUUAGACUAAUGAUUAUUUUCCAGUUUGUCUCUACACAAAAGACCAGUUUGUCCAUUUCUACUUUAAUUGUCAGCCUUCCAAGCUUGUCAAAUACAUCAGUUUUUAAGAUUUAUGUGCACCCCAUGUCAUUAAUCCCUUCCCAAGCUGAUUUUCCUUCGUAAAUAUAUAUUACAUUAACACUUAAACACACAUAUUUCAAAGAUUGAUUCCAAAACGAAAAUGAGAAAUGAAUGAAACUCAAAUCAAAAUUAGAGAAAUAGAGAGUGGAGGUGAAAAUAACCAGAAAAUUUACAAUAAUGCUAUGGAGGAAAAGAAGACAAGUGACUGAAGGAAAUGAGGACUCAGGGAAAAGACUCCUAUUGGAAGAAGGAACUAAGUUACCAUUUUGAAAUUCAAGAAAGAAACUGGUGGAUCUUGAAAUGGGUGUAUGUAUCUCUAUUAGCAACCCAAACUACUGUUUGAACAGAGAUUUUAUUAUACCAAAUGCUUAUGUAAUACUUGGAUGAAGAAGAUGAAGAUUUCAUGAGUAGAAAAAAAAAAAGAGAAAUAUGAAGGAAACAUAAAUGAUGUGGGGGGACACUGAAGAAACAGAUCCAAAAACAUGCAGUACUAUGAACUGCAAGAACAAGCAAUCUCUUAAGCUAGAAAAAGAAGAAACAUGAAAAACCAAGGAUGUAAUUAUCUAUACCUCAUCUGUAUGACGUAAAUCGUCGGGGAAGAAGGAAGAUGAGGACAAACCCUUCAAGUCCAAAACUUUAGACAGCAUGAUGGAACUGAAAAAGAACAAAUCCCAAAAUAAAGAAAGAAAACUCAAAGAAGCUCCAUAAAAAAGGACGCCAAAAAUUGCAACCCCACUCCUUCAGAAGGCAAUUCAAAAACUUCCCUGGAGCCUAUAAAAAUCUACAGGUCGAGCAAAACAUUUCAUGAGUAGAGAAAAAAUAAAAGAAAUCAAAUUACAAAACGAAGAAUCAUUUGUUAAACUAACUUAAACACCACAAUUCAUAUUUUUUUAGGGUUACCCAUUGUGCACACACCAAAUCAUUCUUAAGAGAUUUAAGUUUAACAGUAAAGACCAGAGAUGGAUCAAACUGUUACACCAUUGUUAAAAAGAAGAAAAGAAGGCCCAUAGAAAGGAAGCUAUUAAGGAAGAUAUUUCAUUGUUGGCAAAGAGCAUUGAAAGGCUGGGUGUGCAGGCUGGACAGCAACAGCAGCAACAACGAACUUUCAUGAAAUAUACUUAAGGAAUGAUUAAGGAAAGACAACAUGGGAAGAAGUUCCAGAAGGUUCGUCCAACAAGAAAGAAACUAUGAUUGAUGUCAGUGAUUCAUUUGUGAUGGGAGGAAAAUCGGAAGAAAAAUACACCAAGUUGGAAGGAGAAGAAUCUGCAGGGGAUCGAAGCAAAUUCAAGAAAAUUGACAUGCCAGUUUUCGCGGGUAUUGCCCGGAUUCUUGGUUAUUUAGAGUAGAACGUUAUUUUCAGAUACACAAACUUACUGAGCCAGAAGAAGAUGACGGUGAUAAUCAUUAGGUUUGAUGGUGCAGCCUUGGAUUGGUAUAGAUCUCAUGAAGACCGUGAACCGUUUGUUAAUUGGGAAGAUUUAAAGAGAAGACUUAUUAUUCGAUUUCGAUCAGACCGUGAGGGAUCAAUAUUGGGCAGAUUUUUAACGAUAAAACAAGACACUACAGUGGAUGAAUACAGAAUUUUUUUUGAUAAAUUGGUGGCACCUUUGCCUUUUCUGCAUAAGACAGUUAUAGAAGAGACAUUUAUGAAUGGUUUGAAACCUUGGAUUAAGACAAAAUUGGAAUGUUGGGAACGACUGUUGUUGGCUUGCUCAAAUGAUGAAAUUGGCCUAGAAAAUUGAGAACCGAGAGGUGAUAAGGGUGAAUCUGACUUAAAAUGUGCAGGGGAUGAUAAAACCCAAGUUUCUACUUCUUUAAAUACUCAAUUUCAUGUAGUUUCCAAUGACAAUAAGUCAGAAGGUACUGUUCCAGUAAGGGCUAUCACACUUCGAGGGGCUGCAGAAAUUAAUUGACGGGAAGGACCACCAAGACGACUUUUUUGUGAUGUUGAGUUUCAAGCCAGAUGUGAGAAAGGGAUCUGCUUUUGUUGUGAGGAAAAAUUUUGUGCAGGCCAUAGAUGUAAGGUGAAGGAUCAGAAGGAACUCAGAGUGUUAGUUGUUCAAGCAAAUGGGGAGGAAUUGGAAGUAGUGGAAGAGGAUGAUCGUAUAGAGGAACUUGAGGUAAAAGCUAUUGAACUUGGUAUAGAAUAAAAAGAACCAGUGAUAGAAUUGUCAUUAACUUCAUGGAACACCGGAUUAAAUGCGAUAUCAAGUGCUGCUUAAUUAUCACACCACAAUUUUGCUGGUGUGGUGAUUUCAAAUUCCAACUCAACAAUAGUCAAAAAGUUGAUAUAUCCAAAUCAAUUUGAUAUAUCCAAUUCACACAAAAAACUGUGCAAUUGCUCUAUAUUUUUUUAUUAUGCACUUGAAUGUGACACCACAUUUUGUUUCUUACUUUUCCAAGACAUCAAAUUGCCACCAAACAAAAACAAAAUAUCCUGAAGUUGAUCUUUCGUCUUCUUUAGAUUUUACCAAUUAACAUCUGAGAAAUAUUCAAUAUUAGUAUGACUAUAAUCCUUAUAUAAUAAAACCAUGCCCGAGAGCAGCCUUCAGAUAACACUGAAUCAUUCCAAAGCAGCUGAAUGAUCAACUUUAGGGCAUGACAUAUACUGGCUCAUAAUACUUACUAAAUAGGCUAUGUCGAGUUGAGUCACUGGAAGGUAAUUAAGUUUUUCCUCUAACCUCCUAUAUCUUUCAAGAUCUUUCAACAAUUCUCCAUCUUUUGUGAGCUAUAAGUUAGGCAUCGUUGGGGUACUACAUGGCUUAGCCCCUACCUUCCAUGUUUCAGUCAACAAGUCCAUAUUUUCUCGUGUGAUAAUAGUAUUGCUUUCUUGCCUGUUUUUACCUCAAAUUCCUAGGAGGUAUUUCAACAUGCCCAAAUCUUUUAUUUGGAAUUGGCAAUAGAGAAAAGUCUUCAAGGACUGGAUAUCUACAGAAUCAUCACCAACAACCACAGUUGCAUCAACAUAUACUACUAUUAGGAUCACCCCACUCUCGGAUCUUUUAAAAAAGUUCGAAUGAUCUAACGGGCUCUUUUGCAUUCCAAAACUUUCGAUCACCUUAAUAAAUUUGCCAAACCAAGCCCGUGGACUACGUUUUAGUCCAUCUAAAGAUUUACAAAGGCGACACGCCUUUCCAUUCUUCCCCUGAGCAACAAACCCUAGUGGUUGCUCCAUAUACACCCCUUCUUGAGGAUCACCAUGAAGAAAUGUUAGAAAUUAAUAAGCUAGAUACAUUAUGGAUAACACAUUAAUAGAUACAUUUCUAGUUUCAAGAUACAUAUGCAUUUCUAGAUACAUGUAAUUAUUCAAGUACAUGAAUGGUAUGUAUUCAUGUACUUCAUUUAUUUUGUGUCUUUUAGGAAGUGUCUCUUGAAUACUAUAUAUAGAGAUCAUUUCCUUCAUUUGUAUACAAGAAAAAAGAAUCAAAUCAAUAGAAGCAAAUUGAGUUUCAAGAGAACAACAUUCUUCUCUUGUGUGUUAUUGAGUUUUCUAAGAGAACAAAUUUCUUCUCUUAAAAGUUUGUGAGAUUUAGAGUAAAUUUAGAGUGGGCUCGUCAACGCCUCCAACAAGAAAUGUGUAAGGACCCUAGAUAGAAAAAUAGUGGAUUAUUAGGAAAGAUGGAAGAAGACUCGACCGCAGUUGAGAGAGGACUUGGGAGCAAGCACUUAAAAUGGGCUGCUAAUUGCAAACUUGAGGUGGAUGAGAGGGAGAAACUCCAUGGACAUGGGAGCAUAUGCAGAAAUGGAUUGUGGAUUGCAAGGCAGAAAGAAUACAGAGGAGUGCUCAAACAAUACAUCAAAAGCUUUCUGAAGGGCUGCAAAGAGAUAAAGAAAGAGCGGAGAAGAAACUAGAAGAAAUUAAAGUUGAAGAAAAACAGAAAUGGAACAAUGACUUAAAGAUGAAGGAAUCGAAGAACGACCAUGAAAAAGAUGAAGGAGGAGGAAGCCAAAUCUAACUGUGUAUUCCCAUGGCCGACAACUAAGGGUGAGGUGGUCGGAGACAAACACUUGGUGGAAAUGGAAACACCGAACAGAGAAGGCGGAAGCAUGGGAAAGGAGGCAAACACUAUGGAUGAGAAGGAAGGCAAAGAAACGAUUGAGGAAGCGAUCAUUGAUACUUGGUGGUAGUGAAGAAAACAAAAAGAAGAAUCAAACAGUACAUGUGUGGAACAAGUCGACCUGGAUACGAUCUGUGAAAAUAGAAGAAACGACUCAUUGGAGUGGCAGUAUUGAGAGGCUGAUCAUAUAUAUAGGCCAAGAUUUUGUUGAGGUACGUUACUUUCCUUGCCUUUCUUUUGUGGCGUGCGAGUUAUAUCAAAGUAGGGAAGGGAUGAGGAAGCUAGGCAAUGAAGAAGAUGAACAAAGGAAUUUCGAAGGACAUCGAAGUAAGAUAGAAUGGGUAACGACAAGGAAGAAAAUGGCAAUGGAAUUAGUACAGGAUCACAGAAGAGGCUGGCGAAUGGAAACAUAUUGGGUCGUGACAGAAAAUCGAGGCGGGAUGAAUAGAAACCGCGGCGGAGGAAAGAUUCUGAGUCGGUCACCAGUGGCCAGAAAAAGAAGAAGAUGGAUUGUCGAAAAGUCCAGUUACAGGAAGAGGAGAUGGAGACAGGGUGCGUUGGAGCUAGUCGACCUAAGCCACAAAGGGAGUUUGUCGGAACGCGAAUAGCAACGAAGCUGCAAGUGAGAUCGGAAAUUGUCGGGAAGAAUGCUUUGAUAUUUGCAGAGGAGUGAGCAGCUACGGACAAAAAAAAUUCAGAAAGGAGGGGAAGAUUUCUUGAAGAAAAACGAUUCUUCAACCCACGUGAAGCGUCAGACGUUAGGGCGAAAAAUUAGAGACAGUAGUAGUUAUGAUUUGUUUAAUGGGCUGAAAUUAAAUGAAAAGGCCCAGAUUUUCUCAAAUGAGCUUGGCCUAGUGGAGAAAUUGGGGAUCAAAUUCCUAAUAAAUGUCCAGGAAAACAAAGUGGAGGCUAGGAGAAGGAUUGGCACAUGCAAACCUCAAUGGUUAAAGUAUAUCACGUGGGAUGGCAAAUAGGGAAAGAAUUUAAUCAAAAGUGGGCCAAAAUGUUGCUUUUUGGGCUGAUUGCAAAAGUAAGGGAUGAGGCCCAUUAUACCUCAAAAAAAAAUAAAUUGAUGGCUUUAUCUAAGGAAGUGGAAAUCCUAUUGGAAUAUGGAUGGUGGGCCAAACAUGAGAUGAUAAACAAAGAAAUACAGCCUUCAUAAAGAAAGAAAGGAAAUUAAUGGGCUUGAAUUUGCUAAAUUCAUUGAGACCCAUUUGUUAGUGUGGCUGAAAGUAACUUGAAACUGGAUCGAAAUUGCCUGAAGCUCAUUGGUAAUUUUAAGAAAGAUGGUGUAUGGGCCGUGAAAUUGAUUUGGGGAUGGGGUUAUAAAGUUAAUUGUGGGCUUAGCCCAUUAGAGAGGAAGAGCUUCAAAUUAAAAUGCAAGUGGCAUGGAAUUAGGCUCAGGAAAUGGCAGUUGGUUAAUUGGGAUCACUUUCCGUGUGAGAAGAAUGAAGAUUGGGGAAGUUCUUGGAGUCUAAAGGGUUGGAUGCAUGCAAAUGUAAUUAUUACAACGCAAUAGAAUUUCAAGGUAAAGCUGAAUAAAAUUUCUUCCAAGAAGGCAGGGGUAUGGUAGAGAGUUCAAGGUUUGUAGGUCGUAAGCACACCUUGAGGACAAUGUGUCUUCGAAGGGCGGAGUAAUGUAAGGACCCUAGAUAGAAAAAUAGUGGAUUAUUAGGAGAAAAUGAAAAUGGUUGUUAGUAAGGUCAUAUUAGUAAAUAGAUGGGUUAGGUCUUUUUGUUAUAAAUAGUAGGAGAGGGGUUGGGGAGAGGUGUGAAGAAUUUUGAGAAAGUUUUCCUUGUAAGGGAACCUUGGGAGAGUCUAACCCUCUCGAAAGGCUAGGGUUACUUGUUACUUGUUAUUAAGAUCUAAUAUAUAUUUCAUGUGUAGAUGUUUUUUAAGUAUUCUUGAGUUCAUCUUUUCUUCUUGAGGUAAUCCUUGUUAGGUGGGAUCCUAACAAAUUGGUAUCAGAGCCGUAACAUCUUGAGAAUGACACGGGCUUGGAUGCAAAAACAAAUGGAGGAGAGGAAUUGGAGAAGAAUAAGGACAUUAGGGAACUUAAAGAUGUAACUUUGGAGUUGUCCAAAAGCAUCGAAAGACUGGCAGAGGAAUUACGAGAAACCAAAGUUAGUUGCCAACGGGAAGAAUCUGCUACAUCGUAGGGAUCAGUGUUGAAAAUGAACGGAAAGAUGGAAGAUGACUCGACCGCAGUUGAGAGAGGAACUUGGGAGCAAGCACUUAAAUGGGCUGCUAAUUGCAAACUUGAGGUGGAUGAGAGGGGAGAAACUCCAUGGACAUGGGAGCAUAUGCAGAAAUGGAUUGUGGAUUGCAAGGCAGAAAGAAUACAGAGGAGUGCUAAAACAAUACAUCAAAAGCUUUCUGAAGGGCUGCAAAGAGAUAAAGAAAGAGCGGAGAAGAAACUAGAAGAAAUUAAAGUUUAAGUAUUCUUGAGUUCAUCUUUUCUUCUUGAGGUAAUCCUUAUUAGGUGGGAUCCUAACAAAAUGCACUUUUAAUAUCAAGCUGAUGUAAAAAAGUUGGAAACAAAUAUUGAACCUCUCCUCUCCUCUCACCCACCCUCUUCUCUCUUCAUUCCGGCCACACCUUCUCACGGUGACGUCGACGGCAACGCCAAACCCAGGGAGUUACAACUCCAUCUUUUUCAGAAAUGGAAGUCAAAAGUUGAAAAAUGGUAGACACUUUCUACUGUAUCUAGUUCGAAAAGGGGAGGUUCAAUAUUGAAGAUGUAGACUUCCAAAAAAUCCUCACUUUAUCCAAGAUCCAAUUAGAGUGGUUCAUUGAUUCAAUAGAUGUUCUUGUAAAAGAACCAAACUGGAAGUUUUUCAACAAAUAUGCGAGUGAUGAAACCGAAACAACAAAGCUAUCCAAAUUCUGAACCCCAUCUGAUUGGUUUCUGAGGUGUGUUGCUCGAAACUUCUCUGGAAUACAAUCCUUCAUCCAUCUACUCAUGAGAAACCAGACAAGGUUGGGUCUCCUUCCUCAACAUGAUCAGGUCCUUUUUAUUGACUCAUAAUUACACCUCCUUUUCAAAAAUAUCAAGCUGAUGUAAAGGCCAGUGACUGAUUGAAGUUAGUGAAAUAAACAACCUCACAAAUGUCAUUUUUACUACUCGAGAAAAAGUAUCAGCAUAGUUAACGCCAUGUUUGUGCGUAGCCUUUCACUACAAGGUGUACUUUUAAUUGAGCGACAAAACCAUCAGGAUUAACUUUAAUUGUAACCACCCAUUUGCAACUGAUAUACUUUUUUCGUGCAGGGAGAGAAACUAAAUCCCAAGUACAAUUAUCAUCUAAAGUAAUCAUCUCCUCCACCAUUGCAACACACCAACCAAGAUGAGAAUAGGCUUAAUGAUACAAACUCUAAUGAUGCAAUGAAAGAACAUGCAGAAGACAACUAAUGGUUAUAUGAAACAGAAGAGGAAAUAAGAUGAGCACACUUAAGUUUACCUUUACGAAGAGCAAUAGGAAGAUCAUCACUCAUUUCUGGAUCCAAUGACGAAGAAGCCUUAGGGGUAGGGCAUGGAAUUGAAGAAGGUUGUCGUCGAUCAUAGACUUCAGUGAUGGGUUGACAAAUAGAAGUAAACACACGUGAAGAUGAACCACAAAGAGGAUUAGAAGGAGAGAUAACAUUGUAGAUAAAGAAAUCAUCCUUUGACUCUUGAUACUCCCUCGACUCAUAUUCGAAGAGAAAGAAGGUGAGGAAUAAAAGGAGGAAUGUUCAAAGAACACGAGAAUAACCAAAAAGAUAUAUUUUAAGGUCUUUGGAUCCAACUUUGUAUGUUGAGGCCGAACGUCUUGGACAAAUCAAGUAUAACCAAUUAUUUUGGGUGGAAUGAGAAACAAAUGUUGUUUGGGGCAUAAGAUACAAAAAGGUAUCUCACCCUUAAAAAUGGAAGAGGGCAUGCAAUUUGUUAAGAAACGGGCUAUGGAAACAUCAGCCCAAAAAGAAAUUGGAAAAUUCAUUUGAAACAUUAGGACUAGUGGUUUAAAAAGGAUGACGAUUCUUUCAUUUUGCAAACCCACUGACUUCAUGAAAUUAAUAAAUAGAAGUGUGAAAGUAACAUAGACAUGAAUAUAUAAGCUAGAGCAAAGGCAUGACUACUAUACCUGACUACCAUUACAUAGCGCUAAAAGAAAUUGUAAUUUUCUUUUUCAUUCAAUAUGUAAUUUGACGUAAUAGUAAUAGUAAUUCCUCUUUCAAACAACCACUUUUUUUUUUCAACAAAGAGGACAAGGCUUAUGAUCCCUAAAUCGUUAGCAAUUAAGAUGCAGCAAAUAAGGUAGCUAAGAUGCAGAAAAUAAGAAAACACCCCAAAUCACUACAGUGCAUAAGAAAUCUAUCACAUAAGCACAAAGAUAAAUACUGAGAGUAUUAGUUGAAACUUAGCAAACACAAACAGGGCAAACUAUUAUUUAACGUGCUAGUUUAAAUAUAUAUCUAAACUAAACUACACAAGUAUUUCAAACUGGCAAAACUAAAAUUAGGUUUAUAGAAACAACGUGUCCUCAUCCUUUCUCCUAAGGAAUGCUAUUCAUUAUGAUUUUAUCUUUUGAGUUUUAAAAAUAUGCUAUUUAUUAUUCAUAUCUUUUCUCGUGCUAUCUAGAAGCUAACCAAACAACAUAGAGAAAGUACAUUUGUAUCACUAAUCAAUAUUUGAAAUGAUGACGCAGAUUAAAUAAUACAGAAUUCAGAAAGUAGAACUUGCCUGCUAGCUGACUUCAGCUGCUCCCUGAGUUCCUUGAACUUGAGGUUUCUCAUGUUCUCAACAGUGAAAACAAAAACUGAGUUGUAAUUUUCCACACCCUGCCUGAUCGAUUCCACCAUUGAUUUCUUGUGGUCCCUUCCUUUUCUUCUUUGUUUUUGAUAAAGUAACUGCAUUUAUCCCACGAACAAUUAGAUAGAAGACUUAAAACACUAAUCUGCAUAGGACUAAGUUCAUAUUUUUCCUCUUUAAAACACUAAUCUGCAUAGGACUAAGUUCACAUUUUCCCUCUUUCUUUUUAAGUUAAAAACCACAUGAGUUUGACAAUGAUUACUACCACCACAAGUCAUUUAACUUCUUCAACUGCCUCAUACUUUUCACAAGAAACUGCGUCAUACAAAUUAACCCAUAAUAAAGCUAUCCAAAUUCCGAACCCCAUCUGAUUGGUUUCUGAAAUCAGUAACUCUCAUGGAAGGAAAAACUUGGACAGACUGAUGCAGAAAUUGAGAAUGAAAGUUAGAAAAAGAUUAAUUGCUAUAGAAAAAAAUGAUUCUUGUACUAGAAUCGUUGUUCCCUGCCAUUCUCGAAACAGCCUGAAUAGUCAUGUUAAGAACACCGAGCCCUGCACUAAAGUUGAAAGAGGGGAAAAAACAGCAUGUUGAAACAAAUGAAGGUUAAACCAAAAGGAUUGAACUAUAGUUUCCAAAGUUUUCAUCUCUUAUAUUCACGUAAUAGUAAUAGUAAUAGUAAUUCCUCUUUCAAACAACCACUUUUGUUUCAACAAAGAGGACAAGGCUUAUGAUCCCUAAAUCGUUAGCAGUAUUGCUAUUUGGAGAAAAUGUUAAAGUUAAACAGCUGACAAUACCUUCCAGCCCCUACCACUACUAUCUUUUGGUUAACAAAAUCACUCAAUGGCCGCCCUUGAGCUCUCACAGUUCCCAAUAGUCCAACGAGAGCAACACCAGCAGUUCCCUUUAUGAAAUGAAAUAAACGAAAACGAAUGUCCUUUUAAGUAAUUAUCAACUGCAUUAAUACAUCAUCAACUACUCACUUGUAUGUCAUCGUUGAACAUGCAGAACCUCUUACGAUAACGUUGUAAUGUUUCAAAAGGCCAUUUCAUUUGAAAAUCCUCAAACUGGCAUCAUUCAAAAUCAAAUUACGAGAUUACGAUACUGAUUACUGGCAGUGAACACAGUUAAAAAUUUGAUAUCUUAACCAAUAAACCUGAACAAUAGCUUUAGGCCAACAUGUAUGCACGGCUUCCAUAAAAUCAUCAACAAUUGAUAGAUACUCUUCUCCCUCCAAUCUAGGUAUUCCUAUUCCCUGAACUCCAAGGUCACCGAGGCCAAGAAUACGACUUCCAUCUGUCAAGACAAUCAUGUCAACCUGUAGUUGGAAGAAGAAAAUACAAUGAACUUCAAAUAUGGUGUUGCUGGAAAUUAAAAGAGAUUUUCAUUUUUAUUUUGCUCAAAAUCAAUGCUCUUGAGCUUUUAAUGUCCCGAGGAAUGUGAAAGUUUCCCAAUAUAUCGUGUAUGGAAGUUUAAACUUUUCAAAGAAAACAAGGGUGAUCAACAUACAAAAGCCUCCUGUGGAUAGAAAAUUAAUCAAACAAAAAUUCGAUUGUUCUGUAGCAGUUUGACUUUGUUGUUAAGGAAAUUAAGAGUGAUAAGAAGGCGAGGGAGUGACUUUGAGUGGUGGCCAUUCGACAGCCAAGCAACUACACUCAAAGUUGAAGGUCGAAUAGGCAGCAGGAAGAAACGAAGAAGAAGAAGAAGAAAAGUUUUCGAUCUAUCAAACAUGAUCAUCAUACAAUAGACGAAAGUCAUUUAAAUUAUCCAAAUAUCUUUUGAAGUAAUUUUAACAUUUUCAAAAUAACUCUUAAUCAUGCUCUAAAUAUGGAAUGAAUUGUCUAUCCAACUACAAAUACAAAAGUUUUUCUAAAUCACUCUAACUAAUUAUACAAAUUCCACAACACAUAGAUCACAUGCUUCCCAAGAACCCAUAAAAUUGUUCAAUGCGGCAUUUCAUCAAACAGUUGGUGGAUGGAGACAACAAAAACAAGUGUUUAACAAAAUUAUCUUAGAAACAAACACAUUAAUAUUACCUGAAGAUGGAACUCCAAUUGAACAGCCUUGAAAAAGUGAUGGAGAAACAAACAGAACAUAAAGAUUGUGGGACUCCUCAACUCCAAUAAAUCCUGCAAUGGAAAAAUGGGUUAGAAGGUGGAAAAGCAUAGUAGAGGAUUAUGAUAAUGAAAAUGGGUAGUAAUGUUUUUCAGUAGCUAUCUUUUUCUUCUUUUUUUUUUCAUGUUGUUGAUGGUUGUUCUUGAUUGUCUUUUUUUUUUUUUUUUUUUCCUUUUUUGCAUUUGGGAAAAAACAGUUUGUUGACUAAGAGGUGAUGAUGCUGGUGAGGGAAUUUAUUAAAGUAAUGAAUACUUUUUGGAGGACUUAAACAAGUAAAAGGACGAAAUGAAGCAAGCUCAAGCAACAAAUUUUCUGUUAAGUAAGCAUAAAUAUUAACUAGAGGCUUAAAUAAAAUAUUUCACCACCACACACCACACACAACAACAAAAGAACCCAGAUAUAUCGUCAUUGACAACAGAAACAGAGCAAUAUAAGCAAAAUACAUUACAAGGAAAAUAUGGAGAUAAAAGACAUGAAGGUUUCCCUUUCACUUACAAAGAGGAUCAUUAAGUAACUUCUCGUUGUUAGAACCAAUAUCUAGCAUUACUCGAAGAAUCUGUCAAUUAAACAAGAGUAAACUUAAUGAAAAAGUGUGGUUAAGAAAAGUUGCUAAAAAAUGUCACCAUUAAAUGAUAUUAGUAUUCUUAGAUAAUCUACAAAUUUCAUGAAGAAAAGACUGCAGACUUGAGAGUUACCCCCACUAUCAGGAAUACUUGCUGAAACGGGAAAAAGAUAUCGGCAAAUUCUAAAUACGGCACACUAAAACUCUCACUCUCCUGGUUCUUGCUUAAAAUCACAUGUACAUGUCAAUGCUGAUAGUGCCUCUUCCACUGAAACAAACAAAAUUUCAGUACCAAUUAAGAUGCAAAAAUAAGGUAUUUAAGAUGCAGAAAAUAAGGUAGUUAAGAUGCAGAAAAUAAGGAAACACCCCACAUCACUACAGUGCAUAACAAAUCUAUCACAUAAGCACAAAGAUAAAUACUGAGAGUAUUAGUUGAAACUUAGCAAACACAAAAAGGACAUAAGCUUAUUCUCAAAUUUCAGUACAUAUACUCAUCAAAAUUCAGAAUCUCACGUCACAAACCCGAGCUUAGUGCUCAAGGGUUGACAGUCAUGCCUUUUAUGCAAGAUCUAAGAAGCUAUGAUGCUCAUUAUUGUAAUGAAAAACUUUUGAAAAAUUUUGAAAUUUGGACAAAAUUUGAAAUCCCC
This 49021-nucleotide long non-coding RNA is filed under the name Cucumis sativus (cucumber). RNAcentral's name for it is "long non-coding RNA (CSAT_LNC001127)". Lineage: Eukaryota; Viridiplantae; Streptophyta; Magnoliopsida; Cucurbitales; Cucurbitaceae. The record is from RNAcentral.